RNAcentral lists this long non-coding RNA (87588 nucleotides) under Fragaria vesca (wild strawberry). RNAcentral's name for it is "long non-coding RNA (FVES_LNC003072)". The record is from RNAcentral. Lineage: Eukaryota; Viridiplantae; Streptophyta; Magnoliopsida; Rosales; Rosaceae.
CUCUCUCUCUCUCUCUCUCUCUCUCUCUCUCUCUCUCUCUCUCUCUCUCUGUGCAUGGGUAGGGUUUUAGUUAUUAUUCUUGGUCCUCUAGGCCUUCCAUACCUUCUUUGCUCUUGAUGUAAAUCUAAGGCUUUUGUUUUAGCAUAUUUUCUGAUAUUAAAAACACUAGAGGUCAAAAAUAAACACUAUUAUUCAUCAUUAGUAUGGAUAAAAAUUUAUAUAGAGAAGCAUUCAUUCACGAAUAAAGUAAAUGUUAUUAUACGGACGUGUUCAUUCAUGUAAUUAACCUCUAUAUAGAGAAACAUUCAUUCAUGAAUAAAAUAAACACUAUUAUUCAUCACUAAGGUAGAUAAAAAUCUUUUCCUAUAUCUCUCACCAGUUUUGGUCAAUUAUAUAUGUAACGCCCUUAAUUGCAACUCUCCAGCUUAAGCACAUCACAUUGUCACGAGUCACUAAAACAUAGAUCACAUGCUCGAUUUACAUUCUAGAGAACCACAAGGCAUGUUGUUGGAAUUUUUUUUCAUAAAAACAUAGUGAAAGCUUACAAUGUCUAUAUGGUGAAAAAAUUUAAGUUUUCAAAACUCAUUUAUUCGUCUAGAACUUAGUACGAACGUUAAAUUAAUGUUAACAAAAUUCAUGGAAUACAAAUUUAAUAACUAGGCAGAAAUAAGAACUACAUUUCUACCUUCUAACAAGAUUCGUAAUACGAAGUUUGAGAAACAAGUAAGCAUAAAGAUAGCGUCCCCUACCUAGCUACACACCAAACCGGGUCGAUAUUAUGUUCGAGCAUCAUUUGACUGUUGUAACUAACCCUUCCUGAGGUUUUGGGAAUCAGACCCACAGAAGUCAGUGCUACCCUUCGCUCUUAACCAUCUUAAGCCAUCAACAUCUCAAGUGGUUUGGUUAGUAUGCAUUGUACUUAACAUAACCAAACCAUAUCAUGUUCUAAACCAUUUAAGGAAAACCUCUAAUCAAGAAAAUUCAUAAUCGGUCCCCUAUGUGUAUUACGAUGCUCAGGGCCGGACCUCUGAUGGUCAUACGAGAAAGAAAAUAGAAAAUCAAAGAUGAUAUAAGACUUUUGAGUGACUUUUGAAAUUCCGCAGCAUCCAGUAGAUCAACGUCAAAGGCUGAUUGAAUCAGAUCCAACUGACCCAGCGAAAAUGCAUGCGGAGAAUAAGUUGUGGUAUAGAGAAUUAAAAAGGGAAUAAAAUUAAAGAAACAUGCAACAAAUUCAUAAGGACGAUCAUGAGAAAUAAGCUAGAGAAAUAGUGGAAAACCAGUUGGGUGACAACACUUUCAUCUGGUAGAUCAAUUAUGAGGACUUGAAUGCAUGACAACACUAAUACCUGAAUACAAAAACAUAAAAGUGUGCCCCCAAAAUUUUGGGCCUGAAGCUAUUGCCUCCUAUAGCUCACCUCAGGUCCGAGCCUCACGAUGCAUGCUUUUUCUCACGUACUCCGACAGUCACGAACCUGUAGUGUCCGACAUAAUAAAUGUUAAUUAUUUGUCGACCAUAUAUUUAGAGUCUCAAGGAUUAACUAAUAAUCGUUUGAUGACCUUUCCUAUUUUAACCAGGAUUGACCAUGUUUGACCUUUUUGACAACAUCAAUCAUAUCUAACUCUUUUCGUCGUCUUCAACCAAUUCCACGAUUAGAUUCAAUUAUUGAAUACUAGUUGCAACUAGAAUAUUAUCAAACACUUAGGCAUUUACUUUUAUCAUCAAACAUUGUCACAUAGUAAUUUGGUGAAAUUACUAUGGAAAACCAUAUAAACUUCCCUUGAUUCACCAGCUGCUGCGUUUUUGACAUAACAAUUUCAAAUUAUCACCUAAAUAUGCAUAAGUGAACAAGAAAUCGAAGUAUCAGGCACGAACCCACCACUACAUAUGCGGUGCCCGUGGUGGCUGUAAAAUCCCAAAAUUUUAAAUCUUCACAAUGAAAAUAUAAUUCGAGAAACACUUACACCGAAAAUGAGGAGUUGAUCAACCCUGGUAUACCACGAAGGACCAAAAUGCUACCAUAAUCACCGAAAACCAUGAAAACUCACCCGCUCACAUAGAGCUUCUCGACCUCAAUUUGCACUCUUUGGUUGAUGACUGAGAAAGCCACCACCACCGGUAUGAAGCAAAGGGCUCUUGCAAACCUUGUUCGAGCCAAUGACAUCAGUAUAUGCUUUCUCUCGGAAACUCUAGCACAACCAACCUAUUGAUUUAUUUUGCAACUGUUUAGGGUCUUCGAGAUCAAUUUCUGAUGCUUGCUCUGAUGAGGCUCAAGGCGUUGUUCUUCUAUGAAGGGACGACAUUCAUAUCACUCAAAGGACUUCUGGUCAAUAUUACAUUCAAAUUGAGAUUGGUAAGCUCGUGACACAAGAUAAAUGGUGAUUCACUGAAUCUAUGACUAUACACAUUGUAGUCAACACAUUCAAAUAUGGAAUCUUAUUCAAUAACUGGUUGUUGAUUGUUCAUUGUUAUGGCACAUGAUAUAUAUGGGACUUUAACGAGAUUCUCUACAACUUUGAGAAAUCUUGUGGCCCUCCUAGAACCCUAGCCUCUAUGAACUUGUUUCGAAAAACAAUGGAAGCUUGUGAUCUUCAUGAUAUGGGCUUCACUAGCAGUUACUUCACUUGACCAAACAUUCUAUGAAAUAAUAGUUAGAUCGAGCUUUUCGGUUAUGUCUUUGAAAACUCUAUUCCCAUACUCAAGAGCAGUUACGCUACCCCCAACCCAAAGUAUCUCUAAUAAUUCUCGAAUUAUAAUUGAAGUCGUAUCUGAGCAAAGAAUCGCUUGGAGGUCUCCAAGAAAUUUCAGGUUUGUGGAAAUGUGGCAACACCAUGAUGAGUGUAUUGGUAUCAUUUGGAGAGGAUACACGCAACCUCUAGAUGAUAAUGUAUGCUUUAGGUAAAUUUAAGCAUUCACAAAAUAAGGCAAGAGCUCAUGAAAUGACAACAGAGUGUCAUUGCUGCACAAAAAAUUAAAAUGAUCUAAUGGAUGUCCCUUACUGUAUGUCUCCUUUUGUUUUUCAUAAGUAUUGACAUGCUGGUGAAGUAGAUGUGUGUGUUGUAGUCAAGGAGUUCUCAGAAAUAGGUAAGUUUUGAUAGUUCAAGUUUUGCUCAUUUGUGUCUCAUUGCAGAAAUCAAAGACCCCAAAACAAGUCAGUGAUUAUAGAUCUAUAGCCUCGUGUAAUGUUAUCUACAAAAUUGCCUCAAAAGUAGUUGCUAAAGAUUGAAGAGAAUGUGAUUUGACAUCGUUUCACCCUUGCAAACCCUUGCAAAGUGCUUAUGUCCAUGUGAGAUUAAUCUUGAAUAAUAAUGUAGUGGCUAUCGAGGUGGCUCAUUUUAUACAUUAAUUAAAGCAAGCUGUGAGUUUUUUUCUUUGAAAUUGAAUAUUGAUCUCUAAGCGUUUAUGAUAAGCUGCAAUGUGUGAAUUCCUUGAGGACUUGAGGCUAUGCUUCUAAAUUUGGGUUCAGCGCGAGUUAGGUGCAAAUUAUCAUGCACAGUUUAACUUUAGUACAAUACUUUAUUCUAAUGAAUGUGCAACAUAUAUAAACUAUUUAUCCUACCAAAUGAAUUAGACAUGGCUCAUUUUGUGGUUGAAGACCUGUCUAAUCUCAUUGUAGUACCUAAAAUGAGUCAUACUCCUCUAACAAUAUUUCAACAUAUCAAAUAGGUGGAUGAGCACUACAAAUUUUUAGGUGUGCCUAUGCGUGUUAGUAAGUUUAAAAUUGUUAUCUUUGGUUUGUGUCAAAGAAAAAAUGUCCAAGAAGCUCAUCAAUUGGAAAUAAAAAAUCCUAAGCUUUGUUGGAAGGAAAUCCUCAUCAAAGUUAUGACUCAAACCAUGUAUUUGUAUGUUAAUAUUAUUGACAUUCAUCACCUCUGCAUGUGGUGGCCUUUUUGGCUGGCACUGAAAUAUACCAAAAUGAAGAUACAUUAUAGGAAUUUGGAGAUAUAUUGCUAAGCAAGAUGGUGGCCUUGGUUUUAAGAACACGCAUACAGUGUAUGCUUACAACUUAUCUAUGUUGGCCAGACAAGCUUGGAGUUAGCUUAAGCGCCUUAACUGUCUUGUGACACAAGUCUUUAAGGCUUGAUUAUUUCGAUGUUGUUCUAUGUAAGAAGCUCAUUUAGAUGAUCAUCCAUCCUGGUCUUUUCUUGGUGUAACAUCAUGCAAAUCAUACCUAUCUUAGUGGCUGGUGCAUCUUGAAAUAUUGUAGAUGGUCAUCAUGUUGAUAUUUGGGAAGAUAGUUGGAUUUCAGACUACCCCAAGAACUUACUUCAUACCAGUUAGCUGGAAUCUCUCCAAAGCAUCAAAUUUUAGUCUAUUUGGAAAUCUUCUUUUAAUCUAAUGUGGCUGAGAAAAUUCUAUCUAUUAUGUUAAGUUCUAUGCUUCUUAAUGUUCGUUUAAUUUGAAAACUGAGAAAAGUGGGCAUUAUUAUGUUAAGUCUGUGUAUUGGAUUCAUAGAAGUGGUGUCAUGGGGAAUGUGUAGCGUCUUCAUCAACUAAGUAACCCUUAUCAAAAGCUUUGGUAGAAGUUUUGAAAUGCUACCAACAUAAAAAAAAUUGUGUUUGUGGAGCUUUGCCUAUAUUUAUGUCUUACAAGAGCUAAACUUAGUGCUAAAGGAUAUGAUGGCUCUUUUUAGCGUGUCUCUUGCGUUAUUUUCUUUGAGAAUGUGAGUCAAACUUUGUGUGGUUUUUCUCUAGUUGAUACGAUUCUUUCUCAUGCCUUUUUAAUUUUCAAGUUGUGACAUUGAAGCUUUCAGUUUUAAAGAGUGGUGUUGGGGUGUGUUUCGCUAGAGUUUGACAAUCUACUCGAUAACAUUUAUGUCUUUGAGAACUAUAAAUUAUGCAAUAUAUAGAUUAGCUAGUCUAGCUCUAGAAAUUGAUCCCCCAACGCAUGUGAAAUGUUUCAGCUAUGCCCGGUCAUUUGAGAGCUUUGUAAAUCAAACUCCAAGGUUCCUACAUGUGGUUUUAUUUUUUAGACUAAUUGUUAAUCCUUCAAUAAAAUUGCAGCCGUAGUUUACUAAAAAAAAAGGAUUAAUUUCAGUUUACCCCUCUGAGGUUUGGGGUUAACAUCGUUUCACUCCCCAUACUUUUAAUUUUGAAAAUUUACCCCCUAAAGUCUCUAAUUUUCAUAAAUCAGACACAAUUGUUAAAAUUUCAUCCAAUUUGGAGGUUAAAUGAUAACAUGAAAUCUUAGAAAAAAAAGGUCCUAAAAGGUGAUUUAUGUUGUUAUACGACCAUUUUAGCCCUUUUAGUAAGUUAUGAAGUCAAAACCAACGUUCGAAUUAGACGGAAUUUUAACAAUUGGACAUGAUUUAUAAAAAUUGAAAACUGUAAGGGGUAAAUUUUUAAAAUUAAGGGGGGUGUACUCAUUUAAGAUUCUAUAGGAUCUUUUUUGUAUUUCUAAACUCUAUAGGUAUUCAAUUUAGAUUUGAAAAAGUCCUUAAAAAUCUGUUGGUAUUCAAUCAUGACUUUAAAAUAUCCUUCCAAAUCUAGUGGUAUUGAAAAGUUGGUCGAUUUUCAAGGAUUCUAUUAUAUCAACGACUUUGUAGGAUUCUUUGUGCCUUGGUAUAAAUAUGAAACCCCUAGAGAAAUCUGACCUCAACACAAGAGAUUUUCACGUAUUCUGUCUCUCUCGUACCGAAGAUGAAACGUCAACAUCAGAAGAAGACGAACUAGCCUUGACGAACACUCCCUCAACGUUUCUCUGUUGUUCUCUGAUAACAAAGGUACUUUCUCAUUCUGAUUUCCUGUUUGUUAUUAUGCUCUUUUAGGUUUUGAAUUUAUUGGUGAUGAUGAUGGUUGGAGCAAUGGAGCUGUUUCUCUAUAUUUUCCUUGUUGUUUGAGAGCAAUGCCUAAUCCACGAUACAGCUUUUCCUUGAAUAAAGAUGGUUUCUCUAUAAACCCUAAACCCCCUAAUCCUAAGAUACUCUUUGAAGCUAUGUUUUCUUUCUGUGAUUUCAAAUCAGUUUGUGCUUAAAUACAAAGAUUUACAAUAACUUAUGUAUGCUUGAAGGAGUACAAUAUCAGAUUGCUACCUUAUCAAUAUCAAAUUGUUUUUUCGUCAAAUAUUGUUGAUCCAUAUCAGUUUGUUCCUUUUAUUAAGUAGUCUGAGCAAAUAUUGGAAUACCAGUUGGUGCGUCAUAUUGUUUUCAAGUUCUAUAGAUAAUGAAAUAUAUGGGUGCAGCUCUGAAGCGUAUAUAGCCACAGUCCUGGCUACUUGCUUUUGUGUAUAUUUCUAUGUGUCUAGCAAAUGUAGUUGAAGUUCUUGUGCUAGAAGAGAGUUUAGUUAGUCCUUGUAUGCUAUUAUUACUCAUCAGAUGUAAUCCUGUAACUGAUAGUUGCAUUGUGAUGUUUGGUUGUACUUAUAACAUAUCUUUAUUCGUCUAGGGUUUACAGCAUCAUCAUAUAUUCACAUUUUGGUAACAAUUGGACAAGUGUGAGAAGGCGUUUCAGGUACUUCAACUUGUCUUCUUCAUUUAGGUACUCUUAUGAGUGAUAUUCCUAUCUCAUUAGUUAUUUAAGCCAUCUUUUCUGUUUUAAGUUGAUAAGGUAACAAUUUAUACUUGUACUAUUGAACCAUGCAUGGUUUUUGUUGUUGUUCAUAGAACUUUUUGUUAAUUAGGAAAGUACACAAUUGAAACAGUAAUUGAAAUGAAGAUUAUAUAUAAGUAUGCUAAUAAAAUUUAUUCUGUGUAUUAACAUAUAGUAAUAGUACCAUGGGUGAUUCACAACAAGAUACCAAAAAAGGAUAGCUUAUGAGCAGUGGACCAAGAAAGAGAGCGAUUUAUUGUUAGAACUCAUGGUUGAUGCUGCGGCUUGAGGAUGGCGUGACAAUAGUGGUGUUUUCGGCAAAACAACAAUGGAAGAGAGAAUACUACCUGUUCUUAAUUCAAAACUUGGAUGUCAUAAGACCUACAACAAUUACCAAAGCCGGUUGAAAUGGUUUAAAGGUCGCUGGUUAUCUUAUUCAACCCUUAUGCGGUUCAGCUCUGGCUUUGGAUAUGACUAUACUACUAAAAGGUUCACUGCUCCAGAUGAAGUAUGGGAUGAGUACCUAAAGGUGAGCUUUCUAAAAAUUACAUAACAAAAAUAAUUUGAGGAUUUAGAGCAACAAUAGUUCUAAUUUUUUUAUUUUAUUUUUUUUUAUUUUUAGGCUCACCCAAAAGAUGCCAACUUACGCUAUGGGGUGACUCUUGAUUAUGAGGAUUUGGAAAUCGCUGUUGGGAAUGGUGUUGCUGUUGGAAAAAACUCAAUUGGGUUGGGUAGUGCUACUGAUGCAAGGACAUUAGGAGAUGAUGAAGGUAGAGAUGCACGCAUAGAGAACCUUGAUUAUGAUGUUGAGAAUGAGGUGUUUGUAGCACCAACUCAAAAUGAUCCAUCAUUUCGCUCUACAUCCCCUUUAAGGUUCCCUGAAGUUUCUGAGGUUCCCAAUCAAAGAAGAACCCGAUCCAAGAGAAGUAGAAAUGAGUAUGAAGGAAGUUCUAGCUCAACUGGAAAUACCCCUCAAAGUGGCAUUAUGGAACAACUUGAUAAACUAACGACCACUUUUGAAGGAGUUUAUACCCUAUUAGAGAAAAGAGAAAGCUUAUUGGAGAAAAGGGAAAGGGAUAGAGCAUAUACAAUUUGGGAUGCUAUCGAGGAGAUCCCAAAUUUGGAUGAAGACAUCCGUUUUAAGGCUUUUGACUUGCUUGACACUAAAUCAAAAAGGGAUGGUUUCUUAAAGAUGGCUCCUGAAGUACGAGAAAAUUGGAUAUUCAUGUAUUAGUUAUGUUAUGAAUAUCUUAUAUUUUGUUGAGGAUUUCAAAUUUGCAUUAAACAUGGUCUUUUGAGUUAUUUGAGUACCUCUGGUUUGAGCUAUAUUGUAUGACUUUUGAGUUAUUUUAAUUUGAACUAUAGUAUGACAUUUGAGUUAUGAAUAAUUAAUCUUUUGAGUGCUAUUUUAAUUUGAAGUAUUGUAUGGCUUUGUUUCAUUUGCAUUACUGCAUUUUGGAUUUGGAAGACUGUAGUUCCAAAACCAAUAGGAAUUUGAGGUUGAAAAUUUUCAGAAACUUAUACCGAUAUGUCUCAUAUAUGCCUGAGAAAUAGUUUUUAUUUUUGAGUCCUAACACUUUUGGAAUAUUGAUUGGAAUGAGGGAGGGUCAGAACAGAAAAAAAUUACUGCAUUUUGGAUUUGGAAGGCUAUAGUUCCUAAACCAGUAGAAAUUAACUUUUCUUUGUUUAUAUUUUGUCACUUGGUUUUGAUCAUUCAUUAACUUCUCAAUGCAGAGAAUUAGUAAUGGAAACGGAUGCAAUAUGGAGGGAAGAAUUAGAAGAAGAAGAAAUGGACGAACAAAUGGAAGAAGAAAUUGAAGAAGAAAUGGAAGAAGAGCUUUAUGAACAGGUUAAGUGUUUAUUGACAACAAUUCAAGCAGCAAUUAUCAUGCUAAGAGAUAAUAUGAUUGUGAUGCAUCCACGUAUUGAACAUUCUCUCAAACGACGACCCAUCACUAAGGUGGGAUAUCAGUUUAUACAUAAUAUGCUGAAAGGAGACCCACAAAGUUUCCGGGAGUUACACAGAAUGUAUCCGGAUGUGUUUCUAAAAUUGUGCACUAUUAUUAGAGAGAGUACUCUUUUGGAAGAUACAACAUAUAUUUGUAUUGAAGAAAUGGUAGCAACAUUCUUGAUCAUUGUAGGCCACAAUGAUCGGUAUUGUAAUGUUCGUCAAAGGUUUGGUCGUUCGCACUUUGCUACUAGUCGAAACUUCAACAAAACAUUGAAGGCCUUGAACACUAUAGCACCAGAAAUGAUGGUCAAGCCACCUAGAAGGAUGCCCUCUAAAAUUGAGGAAAAUACAAAGUAUAACCCUUUCUUUAAGGUAUGAUUCUUGUAGCUUGUUUUCUAUAAUAUUUUCACUAUAUGACCUAAAUAAUUUUUUUAGUUUUCUAUUAAUUGAAUAUUGGUUUAUUAUAGGAUUGCAUUGGUGCUAUUGAUGGAACCCAUAUUCCAGCCAUGAUUAAAGGUCGAGAUGUAAGCAGCUACCGUAACCGUCAUGGUAUUCAAUCCCAAAAUGUUUUAGCAGCUUACAACUUUGAUUUGGAAUUUAUAUAUGUGCUUAGUGGGUGGGAAGGUUCGGCACAUGAUUCAAAAUUGCUAAAUGAUGCCUUAUCAAAAAGAAAUGGACUUGAAGUGCCUCAAGGUAAUACACUCUUUUCAUUUUCCAUGAACUUCCAAUGUAUAGAAAUUAUUGAUGGCUAAGACUUGAGCAUUACUCAUUUUUUCGUGUUGGUUUAUAAUUAACUUGUUAGCUUCAUUGUGUAUGACUUACUAAUUAAGUAAAAAUAUUUUCAGGAAAAUAUUUUCUCGUGGAUUGUGGAUUUGCUAAUCGCCGCCAAUUCUUAACUCCAUUACGCGGUGUCCGAUAUCAUCUUAAAGAUUUUGGGGGUGAAGGUCGUCACCCCAAAAAUGCAAGUGAGUUAUUCAACCUUCGUCUUUGAGGAAUGUGAUUGAGAGGAUUUUUGGUAUCUUUAAAUCGCGGUUCACAAUUUUCAAAGUCACUCCCCCAUUCCCGUUUCAAACACAAGCGGAGUUAGUGUUAGCUUGUGCUGGAUUACACAACUUUCUUCGAAAAGAGUGUCGCUCCGAUGAAUUCCCAAUUGAACUAGAAGAUGACCAAUCUCCAUCACAUCUUGACAUGGAAGAUGAAAAUCUUGAAUUGCUUUCUCAAAGCCAACUACAACAAAGAACAGAAGCUAAUGCUUGGAGAACUAGCAUUGCUAAUGCUAUGUGGGCUAGGAGGCCGAGGAAUGAUGAUGAUGAAGAUGAAGAGGAUAGCAACGAGGAUCAAGCUGAUGACAUUAUGAAUAAUGAGGAGUACAUGGUUGGUGAGAAUCAAGAGAUUUAUGAUGUUAAUGAGGUUGAAACGGAGGAGUAAGCAACAUUAUAAUGUUUUUCUUUAAUUACUUUUGUAUCUUCGGUAUAUGAAAUAUGGAAUUGAGAAAAUAUUUUGAUUAAAAAGUAGAUUCAUUAAAAAGUAGAAACUAUUUUAUUUUAUUGUUAUUACAACAAUCUAUGGACUUAUAAACUCUAUGCAAAUAGAGUUAAAUCAAUCUAAUGAAAUCUGCUGAACUCUACAUGGAAUCAAAACAGUCCAUAGAGUUAACAGACUCCAUGGAUUAUUAAAAAUCAGCAAAAAUUUUUUAAAAUCUGGAUUGAAUACACCCCCUUUAAAAGUAUGAAGAGUGAAAUGAUGUUAAUCCUAAACUUUAGGAGUGUAAACUGAAAUUAAUCAAAAAAAAAAAAAAAAAAAUAAUCGCUAGACUUGCAAAAAACCCGUAGCAGUGUAAAAGUUAAACUCUUCCCUCCUGAUUUUUCUCUCUUUCUUUCAGGUCGGUGACAAACCUGAAAACCCCCUAUUAACGUUCUAUUACAAACUCCUGCAAAACCCUAGAAUCCGAGGGGACUCAAGUCCAUGUUUACUUAGACGAACCACGUUCCAGGAUCUAAAAGAAUCUCACAAUGGGUCGGCCGGAGCCUUGCGUCUUGUUCGCCCAGACCUUCGUCCACCCCCAUCUCGAUGAAUACGUCGACGAGGUUAUACUCAAUCUCUCUCCCUCUUCCUUUUCAAUUCAAUCCUACUUUCUCUAAUAAGGUCUAAUUUCACUGUUAAUCUUAUGCCCAUGGUAGUGUUGUUGCAUAAAUAUAUUGAAUUUCAAGUUCGAGUGUUACUGAUUGGAAUUUGGAUUUGUCGUUGUUUUUAGGUUUUGUUUGCUGAGCCGAUUGUGAUCACUGCUUGCGAGUUUCUUGAACACAACACCUCGUCGGCUUCACAAGCAGUGCCCCUUUUAGGGUAAGGGUUGCUCCUAAUUCAUGCAAUUUGUUUAACCUGAAUGUUUGAUUGUGAAUUAGAGAUUAAAAUUAAGAAUGAAAGUAAGUAGUUAGUAUAGUCGGAAUUCGCAGUUAGUCGCAAUGUUUGGGGCACACUCCUGAUUGGAUGCAGCUAUUUGGCCUGUCCUAUUAUUUCUAGAAACAAUAUAUGGUAUAAUCUACCGAGUAUGAAGUAGGUAGCGAGGGCGGUUAUUUAGGGUUUACACUGUAUCUCUACAUAGUACAUACUGCAUUUUUGGAUCGUAGCAUUGCUUCUAUUGAAAUUGUGUCUUGAUUGUAAUGUUUGGGUUUCAUGAAAGCAGUGAAAGUUUUGUGCUUUUCAUAGUAAGUUUGAUAUCAGUUAAUGGUCAAUGGGUGGGACUUGGGAGGCUUACAUUUGGUGCAGUUGCCAGUUUGUUUUGGGCGUUUGCUAUGGUUUUUUUUUUUUUUUUUUUUUUUUUUUUUUUUGUUGAAAAUUUUUCAAGUCCCGUGGACAAAAGAGUUGAGAGGCUAUUGCGAGAUUUCUGUGAGAAGGGAAAAAGGGAGCAUUGAUGAUGUGGAAAUUGGUUUCAGGAUCUAAGAGAAGAUAAGGUUUAGGUGUUGGAAUUUGGUUAAUAUGCAAGAGGAAUGCCAACUUAUCAGGGGAUUGGAGCGGGAAUUCAUCUUUUCUGAACAUCUUACCUUCAUGCUAAAAUAUGAAAAUUCUAUAUGGUCUUGAUAGGCCUUUUGAAAGCAUUCAUUUCACCAGGAUUUGACCCUUUUUCACGACUUUACUUGGUUUUGGGAAAGGGAUAGAACUAGAGUUGUGAAAGAUAAAUGGCUCUCCAUUGAUUUCAUUCCUGUACUUCGUUAGCGUUUGAACAUAACUUUAACUUCUUGGAGCCCAAAUGGUAGUGAAUAAAAUAGCGUCACUGCCUAUUAUCCCCAAUGGAGAUGUUUUCUUUUAUCUGUGAUUAAUAUACCUUUGGUUAUGGAAGAACUAGUGCAAAAAUAUUUGGUGGAAAUAAUGUGUAUUUUGCUGUAUUUUUUGGGUGGUUUGUUAUGUUGGGUUACUGUUCUCUCUUUUUUAUUCCUUUCCAAUGGAGGAGCUUUAGUUUGUUAAUAAUGUUUCCUGUGGUAGCUGUCUGUAGUGGCAAAAACAGAACGAAAUUAUGUUGUAUUGGAGAUUGCAUACAUUAGCGUUGGACUUCUUCUCUGCUGCUCAGCAUUAGUUUCUUUCUGGCUUCUUGAAAUGAAGUAUCCAUUUUAAGAAGCCAUUUUGUGCUUUGAUUUUCUUGUCUUUUAAUAAAAGCUGUUUGUUUUCCAAAAAAUAGAAAGCUGAAGAUCCAUUUCUUGCAAAAAAUCAAUAAGGCUUUUAUCUCUAGAAAUGUCAUAUUGAAUUGUAUAAGCCUGGUAUUAACUUUUCGAUACUAUCAUUCAAUGAUGCUUAUGAUGUUGCAUUUCUAUCAAUAUUCUGAAGUGCUACUUCUGUUUACAGGGCUACUUUACCUCCUUCAUUUGCUUUGGAGGUAUUUGUACAAUGCGAGGGAGAGACAAGAUUCAGGCGCCUCUGUCAGCCUUUCCUGUAUUCCCCUUCAUCAUCAAAUGUGCUAGAAGUAGAGGUAAUUAAUUAUCUUGUACCCAGUUAUAUAUCCUGAUGGAUGCUAUCCUCAUAGAGGGCAUUUUGAUGGUGGAUGGUUCAUUUUGAGCAAAUUAAUAUUUAGCUCUUUUUAUUAAUAAGUGAUUGAUUGGGUCACUAGCAAGUUUAACGUGAAUGCUGUUGUUACUUUUUUUUUUUUUUUUUUAAUUCUGUUUGAAUGCCUUAAAUAAUACACAUAUACCUGGACAGUUUGUUUGUGUUGAUAAGAAAGGAAUACUUAAUUAGACAUGUGAAAAAGUACAGAGAAAAUGGAUGAGAAGUCCCUCAAGCAGAUACUUGCACAGUUGAUACACCAGAAAACCUAGAAACACUAGGCAGAAAUUAUUUUUCAGUCAAGAAGGUUUCAGUGGAUGCUUAAAAUCUUCUUACGAGGACAGCCCUAGUGCAGCCUUUAUUUUCUUUGUUUGUUUUAUCGUGUUUAUAAAUUGCUUACGGAAAAAAGGCGGUCUUAUGGAAUAUAGCAAGUAUGGAUAUCUACUUACACACACAUAUAUAAAAAAAUGACCUCCAUUAAUGUGGAAAAAGAACACAACGUAGUAUAUUGGAAUUAUAGAGAGGUACAGGCCCUCUUGAGGGAAAUACUUUUGUUUGAGCCCUUUUGGAUUGGUAGAUGUACCUAGUUAUCGAUGUUGAUGACGGUCUCUUUAUUCAAUGGAAUAUGCAUAUGUAGACAUAUCCAUGCACAUGUGCGCACACACGUCUCUGCUUUUAUUAUGUUCAUUAUGCUGUAGCUUCUCAGAGCAUCUCGUUUCUCACAGGAAUCAUAUUUUUCUGCAGGCUGUUGUAACUAAUCAUCUGGUUGUAAGGGGGAGCUACCGUAGUCUGAGUUUGGUUAUAUACGGAAACACGGCCGAAGAUCUGGGGCAAUUCAACAUUGAAUUUGAUGAUAGCUCCAUAACUAAUCUUGUUAGCUCAGCUGAGGGAAAGCUUGAAGACCUCCCUCUGGCUUUACAUUCAACUAAUCUGACAAUUGAGGAAUCACUAUCAGCUCUGAAUACUUUAUCUUUACCUGUUACAGCAUCAGAUUUAUCUAUUGAAGUUAAGCAAUUAUUACAGCUGAUGUUGAAGAUUUGUGAGUUGCCCAAUCUAGGGGAUGCAUUGCAAAAAGUAGUUAGCACUGUAGUGUCAGCUGCCACUUGUUAUGUGACUUGCUCCUGGGGCAGAUCUAGUGACUGUGAAGAGCUACACAAGGUUCUUAUUGAGGCCAGAACAGAGCUUAUUCAGCUAUAUAAAUCCUUUAAAGAAGAAUCAGGGAAUGCAUCAGCUGAAUCAUUGGAAGACUGCGAUAUUUUUGUCUCUGAGACUGAUUUGGUAACUUCCAAACAGUUGGCUGAUUGGCUAAGUCGGUACUUUUUCUUCGAUAGGGACUUUUCAAGUGUUGGAUAUCACCAACUUCCACAGGUGAAUGCAAAACAGUUUCCUUCACUCUUCACAUUUUCAAUAUACAACUUAUAGCAACAAUGACAUAUGCCUCUCUCUCUCUCUCUCCUCCCCCCCCCCUUCCUUUUUUUCUCCUCCUCCUAUCUGCUAGCAUGGCUACAUUUAAUGUGAUCAAUUUUUGUUUUUCAGGAUACAAAUGUCAUGCUGGGGUUGAGUGUGGCUCUUCUUUUGUGCUCUGGAAGAGAGAGCUGCUUUCACUUUGUCAGCGGUGGGGGAAUGCAGCAGCUUGUACAUGUCUUCAGCCGUGACAAGCAGAAUUCUACCGCAACGACAUUACUUCUACUUGGAGUUAUUGAGAAAGCUACUCAGCAUUCUUUUGGCUGUGAAGGAUUUUUAGGUUGGUGGCCUCGUGAAGAUGAAAAUAUUCUAUCUGGUGUCAGUGAUGGUUACAGUAGAUUGUUGAAUUUGUUGCUUCAAAAACAGCGUCACGAUGUUGCUUCAUGUGCAACUUAUGUCCUUCAUCGACUUAGAUUUUAUGAGGUCACUGCAAGAUUUGAGGUAUACUUUCAAUUUGGUGAUGCUGGUUGUGGUUCUACAUGUGUACUUGUGACUUAAUUCAACUAGUUUCUUAUGGUAGUUCAUUUCUUGCAGUGUGCAGCUCUGUCUGUAUUGGGAGGUCUCUCUACUAUUGGUAGGGUGACGAGUGAUACUUUGGAAAUGCUUAUCUGUGCAAAAUCGCAACUCAAAAAACUCUUGGUCAGUCAUUAUUUAUACUUUUUUAACCUUUGUUUUUGUUUGUAUUUGAAUCCUGUUUAUCUGUUUAGGAUGACUUCAGAUGUCACUGUCAUUAUUUAUUGACAAGAAUUUCUGCAGAAAUUGAUAACUUCACGUGAUCCAAUUGAAGAUCCUUCCCCAGUUGCCCGUGCAACCAGAAAAUUGAUUCUUGGUCAAACUGAAGGUUUGUUGUCAUAUAAAGCAUCCAGUGACUUGAUUGCUUCAUCAAAUUGUUGUUUCUCAAAUCGGGAUAUCGACUUGCAUUUGCUGGAUCUUCUCAAGGUAUAUCUCCCUCUUUGAAUUUCAGAAUACUCCUUUCGUUCAAAGAUGUGGUUAAUUUAUAUUGUAUCUGUAAUAUAAGGAAAAUACUGUGUUUCAUUUUUAAUUUACUUGAAGGGAUCCCUCUUAUAUAUAUGUAUGUAUUCACUUGAAGGAUCCCAUAUGCAAUGCAUAUCUGUGUUGGAUGUUACUGUUGUUUCUAACUAUUAUUCUAAAUAAGGCUUAGCAUAACGCCACGACUCCAUAACCUUUAUCUACUAUUUUGUUCUUGCUAAAAUACUGACAAUCUUUGUAUACCUAAUGGACUGAUUGAUGGGAUAAAUAACAUAUUAUUCUGCGUGCAACCACCCUCCUUUACCUGGCUUGGGACCAAUUGUGUAAACGAGGAAUACUAUGCUUGCUAACUACAGCCUUUUUCUUUGGAUUUUGGAUUUGUACUACUAUGUUCUGGAGUCCUCCCUUCAAGGUUGUUUACCUGUCUUAGUUGAGGAUAUGUUGUAGACUAGUAGUGACUUGGCCGCAUGAAAUUAUUAUUUGGUUUUUUCUCUUGAGGUUUUUGACUCCAGUUCCCACGCACAAAGAAUAAAAAGGAAAGGAAAAAGAAAUUCUAUGCUUGCUGUAGAUAGGUAUAGGUAAGCAUGAAAAGAUUUGAAGACAUGUUACUAAGGUUGCAGAGGACACGUAGGGUUUGGAUAUAUCCGGGUGCCUGAAGAUAGUCAACGCUCAAAGCUUAGUUGAAUUUAAUGGUUUUUAUAUUACACACGCCCAUGGACAUAUGCCCGAAGUAUAUACAAACUUUGCAGUUGCUCUGACAAGGGAAGGGGAAGGGAAGAGGAGAAAUAGAACCAGUAGCGAUAGACAGAAGAGGGAGGGAGAAAGAAAGGACAAGGGAAAGAGAUUAACAAGAAAAAAAAAAAGUUAGGGUUCUAUAUCAAAUCAUGGCCUAUUAUUAGGCCAGUCUGGAGAUCUCAUUGAAAUCAAAUUCCUUGGUUAAACUCUCCAUUUAAAUUAAUCAUGAUGAAUUGUCCUACUUCCCUAUCGGGAUUGAACUCAAAUCAAAAUUCUAAUAAAUUAAAUACCUUACCAAUUCAUUUUCUCUUCUCUGUCACACACACUCACUCUCUCUCUCUCNNNNNNNNNNNNNNNNNNNNNNNNNNNNNNNNNNNNNNNNNNNNNNNNNNNNNNNNNNNNNNNNNNNNNNNNNNNNNNNNNNNNNNNNNNNNNNNNNNNNNNNNNNNNNNNNNNNNNNNNNNNNNNNNNNNNNNNNNNNNNNNNNNNNNNNNNNNNNNNNNNNNNNNNNNNNNNNNNNNNNNNNNNNNNNNNNNNNNNNNNNNNNNNNNNNNNNNNNNNNNNNNNNNNNNNNNNNNNNNNNNNNNNNNNNNNNNNNNNNNNNNNNNNNNNNNNNNNNNNNNNNNNNNNNNNNNNNNNNNNNNNNNNNNNNNNNNNNNNNNNNNNNNNNNNNNNNNNNNNNNNNNNNNNNNNNNNNNNNNNNNNNNNNNNNNNNNNNNNNNNNNNNNNNNNNNNNNNNNNNNNNNNNNNNNNNNNNNNNNNNNNNNNNNNNNNNNNNNNNNNNNNNNNNNNNNNNNNNNNNNNNNNNNNNNNNNNNNNNNNNNNNNNNNNNNNNNNNNNNNNNNNNNNNNNNNNNNNNNNNNNNNNNNNNNUUCUGGUUUUUUUUUUUUUUUUUCAUAUGAUUUAUUGACUGCUAAAGACGUCCUUUUUGUAGGCUGUUAAAAUUUUGAUUGAAGCAUUACAUUCUGCCAAGGAACCGGAGCCGCUUGCUAAAAAUAGUGGUUGUCAACUUGCUCUAUUUUAAGUCUGAAAGUUUAAAGCCAUGCACUUUUAGUUCUGCUUUACUCAUUUAAACGAUUCUGAAUGUUCAGGAGCCUCACCGUUAAAUCUUGCGAUAUUUCACUCAGCUGCCGAGAUUUUUGAAGUUAUUGUUUCGGAUUCAACUGCCUCUUCUCUUGGAUCCUGGAUUGGACAUGUUACGGACCUCCAUAGGGCUUUACAUACCUCUUCUCCAGGGUCGAAUAGGAAGGAUGCCCCCACAAGGAUGUUGGAAUGGAUAGAUGCUGGAGUAGUAUAUCAUAAAAAUGGAGUUACAGGUCUUAUACGAUAUGCUGCUGUGAUUGUUUCCGGAGGAGAUGCGCACUUGACUUCAACCAUCCCUCUUGUGUCGGAUCUAACAGAUGCAGAGAAUGUUAUUGGAGAUACUUGUGGUGGUUCAGAUGUUAAUGUUAUGGAGAAUCUUGGAAAGUUCAUCUCUGAUAAGACUUUUGAUGGUUUGACUCUUCGUGACUCUUCUGUAGCACAGUUGACAACAGCAUUUCGCAUUUUGGCUUUCAUUUCAGAGAACUCGGUAUGCGAAUUUCUAGUCUUUGAGUGUACCGUUAGAUGGAUUGCUUGGCUCAUGUUGUCUUGUUGAUGCAGACUGUUGCCGCUACUCUAUAUGAUGAAGGAGCAAUAGCAAUAAUCUAUGCAGUUUUGGUCAACUGUAGGUUUAUGCUCGAAAGGUCCUCAAACAGUUAUGGUAUGUUUGUCAGUUAGAUUGUUUUUUUCAUUUUAUUAUCAUAAUCAUGCUUAUUAUUAGUAGUAGUAGUAGUAGUAGUAUGCAUUCAUGUGAUUCAGCACCAAACUAGCAUUCUAUAACAUCACUUGUGCAUUUUCUCUCUCUCUCUCUCUCUAUAUAUAUAUAUAUAUAUAUAUUUCAAAACCUGUUGGUGGGGGAGAAAGGGUAGUGACCAAAUCAAUGGUUAUUUGUUGAACUAUUAACAUAAUGAAUAUGUAUUAUCGGUCAUUGAGUAACUCAUUAGUUUACUUUUGAGAAAAAAAUGAUAGAUUAAUAAAUCAUAUUAAAAGAAUUAGACUAUGUGAAGUUAUGUUUUUCCAAUUCUUAUCUAUUCAUUCAUUCACUUAUCUUCCAGAGAGUAAUGAUACAUCCUGCAAUGUUUCGGUCCUUAGUGUGUCAUGUCUCUUGCAGAGGACGACACAUGAAAAACAAUCAUGUAAAGUAAGAAUAAUACUGUUUGUGUAGCAUAUUCUACUUUCUACAAUUAAUAGACAACAAACUAGGUUGCUUGACUCAUGCAUGGUGUCCAGGAAGCUUGUAUUUUAGUCAUCCAAUGUAGAAUCAAUCCGAGCUGAUGAUCCAUCUGGUACAACUGGCUGGUUGGUUUGGCCUGGUUCUUAAACAUUGCUCUCUUCAAUUUGGGAGAUGCAAUUUCUGUCUCUGGCUUGUAUAUGUUUUAUUUUUAUUUUUCUCUCAUUGAAAUAAGGAGAAGAUUUGGAUUUGACCUAUAGGAUUGAAGCUGCUAAAUACGUGUGAAUUCAUUCUGAUAGUGGUCCCCUCCCCCCAUUGGGAUAAUUUCUUGGACAUACUCUCUUUGCUUGAUAGAGCUAGAUCUACUUGAAAACACAACUUUUAGGACAUUCCUAGAUUUUCCACUCUGGACUCUGGAGAAAUCAAAUUAUUAUCAUGACUGUAUGCUAUGCUUUCUGAGUUCUGUUUGUGCACAGAUAUUUAUCACAUAUCACUGUAUCUGUGUGGUUGUCUACAGUGUCCACUAAGUACUAUAGUACUUGUGAUUUUGCUUUCAGUUGUCGCUACAACUGUGUACUGUAUCAAGAUCUUAAUGUUCCACAUUUUGGGAUUUUUUAGAUGGUCUAUUUAUUUGUUUAACUUCUUAUGUCGUUUUGUCUUGAACAGAUUACCUUGUUGACGAGGGCACAGAAUGCAACUCUACAUCAGAUUUACUGCUGGAACGUAAUCGUGAGCAGAGUUUAGUUGAUCUUCUGGUUCCAACUCUUGUGUUGUUGAUCAAUUUAUUGCAGAAAUUGAAGGUUUGCUUCAUUUAAUCCUAUAGCCUCUAUAUGAUUGUGGUUUUUAUGGGAAGUUUCAUUUAAAUGAGUGAAGUAGCAUUAUCCUUCUACGGAUUUUAUAGAUAAUUAUUACAAUCUUGGUGUUCUUAAAACCCAUAUGCCAGAUCCUUAAAUGUUGAUAAUUUGAUUGUAGAAAACCAUAUUAUGUCUUGGACAGGGGAUGGUUGUGGUUAAAUAGAAAAUUACACAAAGAAGUUUAUUAGGUGAUAACUGUAGGAUGACUACUGUCAGCCUUGAUUCUAGAUAAAUUUUCAAACGAGGAUGCUACGGCUAGGGUGUUUGCAUGUUAGAAAAUCAUGAACUUUAAUUUCAUUCUACUCAUGAAACCUGGGGAUUAAAUGAACAGAACACCAUUGUGUCUUCUAAGCUUGAUCUGAUCUUGGACUUCAGUACUUGUUGUUUUUGACUAUGUAUGCUUUAUCAGUUGUUUGUUAAAAUGUGGUCUUAAAUCUGUAGGAGGUACAAGAGCAGCACCGGAAUACCAAAUUGUUGAAUGCGCUUCUACGAUUGCACCGAGAAGUAAGGUAACUGGGCCAUCCUCCUUUUUCUCCUCCCUUAAUUUUUAUUUUUGUUUGCAUAAAAUUUGACUUAAUUUUUUGUUUGUAGUCCGAAACUAGCCGCAUGUACUGCAGACCUAUCGUCUCCUUAUCCUGAUUCUGCCCUUGGGUUUGGAGCUAUCUGCCAUCUUCUUGUCUCAGCGCUUGCUUGUUGGCCAAUCUUUGGCUGGACUCCUGGGCUUUUUCACUCUCUCCUUGCUAGUGUUCAAGUUACUUCCUUGCUGGCCUUGGGUCCAAAGGAAACAUGCAGUUUGCUAUGCCUUCUGGUAUGCCAGGUUUCUUUUCAUUAUUUCCUUUUGUUUGGAUGAUCAUGCUGAACUGUCUUCAUACCUGAGGGACAUGAAUAUGGAACAUUUCACUAGAAGCCUGUCUUAGACCGGCACAGCUCUUCCCUAUGAUGAAUGAAUACACCUAAAAAAUUACUAUGCUAUAUUUUACCCCUAUCCAAUCGGGAACUUUUCAUAAACUUUGAGUUUUGGAUACGCUGAAGAUAAUGCAUACAGCAUACUGCAGACAUGACGGGGUUGUCUUAAAUAUUUUCAGACAUGCUAAAAGACAACUUUGUCAUCUUCGAAAUUCUGAAUAAAGAGGCUAAGGUUUUUCUUUUUGUCCAUUAAAGUUAAAAUAAUAGUUUGAGAAGAGAAACAAUAGAUNNNNNNNNNNNNNNNNNNNNCUUCUGGGGUGGAGGUGCGCCGUUGCCGGCGCCGGAGGGUGGAGAACGGACAGACGUCCGCAUUUUAAGCCGAGUGCGGACGUCUGCUUCACAUCCGGCCUUAUAUAUAUAUAUACAGAGCCGUUCUAAAGAGGACGUCCGCACAGGCGUCCCUCCGUUCGCCAUUGUAUGGCGCCGCUGAGGGCGCGCCUCCACCCCAGCAGCGUCCCCGACCACUUUCCAUCCCCGGCGAGUCCGCGAAAUUCCAGUUUUCCGGCCAGAUUGACUUCGUUUGAAGUUUUGGGUGAUCUGGCCGGAAAACUGGAAUUCGGCGGACUUACUAAGGAGGGAAAGUGGUCGGGGACGUUGCUGGAGUCUGCUGGGGUGGAGGUGCGCCCUCGCCGGCGCCCUAUGGUGGCGAACGGAGGGACGUCCGCACUUUAGGGGCUGUGCGGACGUCCUCCUCUGAUCCCGACUGUAUAUAUAUAUAUAUACACACAUUCAUGUGUGUGUGUAUACAUAUACAUGUAUAUAUUUAUUAAAUCCUAGAUGUAUCAUAUCUUGUUUAUUCAUUUAUUUUUGCCAUAUCCACUUGUCGUGUCGUAUCAUAUCCCAUACCCAUGUGAGUGAAACAUAAGCUCUUCAUAGAAGCAGGACCGUACGAGAAAACUCUGAUUUAGCAAGCCUGACCAUUUAACACCUAAACAAGCUUGUUGCAUGAUAUAAUUUUCUUCAAGUGAUUACUGUUGACUCAUUGACCCAUAAGUCAUACCUAGUGGUGCCCCACCUCCAUUCUGGGUUUUUGUUUACCACCCACCCAGUGCACCAAAGAGAAUAAUGUUAUGUGGAGAAUCAUGAUAUAUUGGAUUAUUGGUUAUUCAUCUUGUAAAAGGUGUAAUGAAUUUAUGGAAUUGGCUCAAUAACUACUUGUUUAAUCUUCUAUUUUGCUUACAAUGAGCGAUUGUCUAGCAUGGAUAGUUAUCUUUCUGAUGCUUUUAUUUAGUAAGAUAUUAAAUUUGGUAACCAUUUGCGCCUAUAAAUUGAUAAUUAUUAUGUUUUUUUAGAUCCAUGUCCUGUUGUCCUUAUGUUAUUUUUCCUUUUUCUGCCUUUGCAAGAAUGAUUUAUUUCCAGAAGAAGGGGUCUGGCUCUGGAAAGAUGGGAUGCCUUUGCUGAGUGCCCUUAGAAAGUUGUCUGUUGGGACGCUUUUGGGUCCUGAGAAGGAGAGACAGGUCAACUGGUAUCUGCGUCCUGCAAAUCUUGAGAAGUUGCAGAGCCAAUUCACACCACAUCUGGACAAAAUAGCCCAGAUUAUACAACAUUAUGCUAUAUCUGUAUGUUAUCUUUUGAAUUAAGUCGCUGGUUUUUUUUACCUUUUCUUUUCUAGCUAGAACCUUUAAGACAAAAGGGUAGGUAGUAUGUGCUUUCUCAAUGAUAUAUCUUGCAUAAUUGGUGGAUCACUUUAAACAGGAAUUGGUUGUUAUUCAAGACAUGCUUCGAGUUUUUAUUAUUCGCGUUGCUUGCCAAAAAAGUGAAAGUUGCUCUGUUCUUCUACGGCCCAUAUUCUCAUGGAUUCGUGAUCAUGUUUAUGAGUUGCCUUCUCCAUCAGAUAUGGAUGCUUAUAAGGCAAGUGUAUUGCAACUGAUUUAUAGUUGGACUAAUUUUGGUGAAUUGUGUUUGUCUGUUUUCUUCUGAUAUAUCCUCUUUUCAGGUUUAUAGAUAUCUUGAUUUCGUUGCGAGCUUAUUAGAGCAUCCACGUGCCAAGGUUUUAUGUUUUUUCAUUUUAUUAUUAUUUUUUGUUUUUUGUUUUUGUUAUUGUUUCUGAUGUUACCACACAUUUUUCUUAUACUUGUCUAUACCUUUUCAGGCACUAUUGUUAAAGGAGGGUGCCAUUCGAAUGCUAACUAGAGUGCUCGAUAGGUGUUUAGCUACUGCUGAUACAGAUGGAACCCCGAUCCUAGCUGGUAGAAGUUCAGCUAAAUCCGGGUUUCCUGUGCUCAGUUGGUGCCUCCCUGUAUUCAAGUCCUUCUCACUGAUUUCCAUUUCUCACGCAAGUCUACACAAGGAUUUGUGAGUAGAUAAUAUGUGCAUAUAUCAUCACGUUUUUUAUUAUUUAAGAUGAUACAGAUGCUAAAAUACUUCAUUGGAUAACAGGCACAAGUUUGCAAACGUGAGUACUGAAGAUUCUAUAAUGAUAUUAAAAUAUCUCCUCCGGUUUUCUCAGGUAACUUGCUCCUUAUGUUGUGAGUAAUGUUCGAGAUGCAUGAAUUAGCGUUGAUUAAUCCAUCUGGAUAUUUUUCUUGUGUUGUUACUUCUUUUUAUUUUGUGAGAUGGGGUUUGGAACCUCCCAGAAAAGUUGAGUUGUUACUUCUGUAUACAAAAUGCAAUUGAGCACGAAGUGCUAGCUACCUUCCUUCAUGUAGUCCAUUGAUCCACUAGGUUUAUAUUGUUCUAACGAAAUAAGCCAUUUGCUUGAGCAGAGCAACUGUUUUUUGCUUUUUGUCCUCUUUUGGUUCAAGACAUUCCCGAAAAUUGAGCAUUGCAUAUGACUACAUUUUCUGGUCACUGCUCGUUUGAUGACCCUUAUUGGAAUUAUAUUGUGAAAACUGAGUAAAUUUAACUUCAGAAUGUAAAACUAUCUAGAGGAGGUAAAAAUUAUGAAACUUCUUAUUUCCUUAGUUUAUGCUGAUGGUAGCCUCGUUUUUACCAGGUUCUUUCAGCUGGAAAAGAAUUACUUGCAUGCCUUACUGCUUUCAAAGAACUAGGUUCUUGUAAUGAAGGCCGAAGUGCUUUAGCAGCCGCUUUUUAUGGUCUUCACUAUAUUGCCGAGGAUCGUGAAGCAUAUAAAGGACAUGAACAGGAUGGAAAUGGUAACAGUUGUCUUCUUAACGAAUCGGAAUGGAGAAAGUGCCCUCCUUUGUUAUUUUGCUGUAAAUCGUUGUUAAGGUCAGCUGAUUCAAAAGACGGUUUAUCAAGUUAUGUGAUUGAAGCUGUCAAUGCACUGUGCAUGGGAUCUUUAUGGUUCUGCCUUGACGGGGAAAGGUGAUUUUUCUUACCUUACUGGUUAUUUUAUUGAUUUAGCUAAAAGUCAUAUACUUUGUAGUUGACUUGCUAUAUCUUUAGAUUACCAUUGUCAUUUUAAUUCCCUACAUAUUACCAAGAUUUAGUUGCCUUUUACCAUAAAACUUUAUUGUUUUCCUCAUGCUUGUUAGUUUAUACAAUAUUGAAAUAGUAGUUGCAUUUUAUUGGUUUCAAAUACUUCUACACUUAACAACCAUAUUAAUUGCCCUUAAGGAUACUAGUUAUAGUAUUGGGAGUUUGUUGUGGAAAGAUGAUUUCUGCUAGAGGGCAUUAUUUGAUUCUUCACACUUAAUUAAGAUUACAUUAUUUGGGCAGCGAAAGAUUAUGCUAGACGACACUAUUAUUCUUUUUUUAUUGUUCUUUACUGCUUAUUUCAUGUGUGUGUGUGUGUGUGUGUGUGUGUGUGUGUGUAGAUGCAUGAUGAGCCAGACAAGUUAGCUAAGUUGUGCUUUGGGUAGAAGUAUCCUUAGGCUUUGUUACAAUUAAUAUAUUUUGUUUAUCAAACAUAUAUAUUCAUUUGUACUCCAUUUAAAAAUUACUUGUUAUUCAAAUAGGUAGUCGAUCUGAAAUUGGUCGCAGGCUUUUUGUAACUAUUCUCCAUAUAAGAAAUAACUUGACAAUAGAUCUUGGGAUUUAUUCUACUCCCAUUGUGUUAUGUACAUGAAAUGUGCGCAUUCAUGUGCGCAGGGAGCGCAUAGUGACAUCAUAUUGAUGUAUGUAGCAACUUCCUAGAUGUAAUAUGAAUAUGAAUGUGAAUGCUUAUAUACUCUAUUUAGUCUACUAAGAAAGUGAGCAAGUGUGUUGAUAAAUCAGGUACCAUACUCUGUUUCUUUUUCUUUUCUUUUUCGCUAUAUGCCAAAACGAUAUUCAUCAAUCAGUAGUAUAAUACUCAAAGUCUGAAUUAAUUGAUCCGAUUCCUAGGAUCAGCCUUCUAUACCAGAAGGCUGCCAUUGACCAAUUGUAAUUACAGGAAAUUUUGAUUUGCCAGUUGGAUCUCUCUGUUUCACAUGGGUCUUGUACAUAUUCACUUUCAUAGUUUUUUUGCUCCGUAUAUGCAGUUCUUCCAUGUUCUGUGUAUGAUGCUUUAAUCAUUUUGUCAGCUUUUAGACUUAUGGUUUGCUCUUAUUAGAUUGAAACCAGACAGGGUUAUUGCGGUGAAAUUCCUUUUUGGUCUACCUGAUGAUAUAGGCUCAACAGAUGGUGUUGCAGAAGAAAACUUGAACUGCAUUCAUGAUCUAAUCUCUGUGUUGACGGCAGUAGCUGAUGAGUAUGUUGCUAAAUCUGAUGUUCAGAUCCCCUUGCAUGAGGUAUAGCUAACAAAACUUUUAGAAGCUUCAUUUGUUCGUAUAAUAUGAUCAUGUCUGACAUCUUUAUAUCAAUGUACAGGUUUUAGAAUCCGCAAAGUUAUUAAUGCUGUUGUUGCAGAAGCCUAGUUCUUUGUUAAAGAUGGAUGAUAUCUUUGUUAGUGAUAGUGUUCCUGUACCACCAAAUGUUGCAUUAUCUUCAAAGAUCCAUCUAAUCUCAGAUGGUGGUGCUGAAAUGACUGGUGAUUAUCUUUAUCAAGGAGCACUUGGAGAUAAGUUUCAGUGGGAGUGUCCUGAAACGUUGCCGGAUAGAUUGUCACAAUCAAAUCUUUCUGGUAAGAGGAAAAUGUCGUCACUUGACGGCCCAAAUAGGCGUGCUAGGGGAGAAAGUUCCGUGGCUGAGAUUACAACCCAAAAUGCAUUUGCUAGAGGUUUGGCCUCGACUACUGCCUCCUCUGGUCCUACUCGCAGGGAUACCUUUCGGCAGCGGAAACCAAAUACUAGUAGACCCCCUUCCAUGCAUGUUGAUGACUAUGUUGCAAGAGAAAGAAAUGAUGGUGGUUCCAAUGUAAUAGCAGUCCAGCGGGUUGGAUCGUCUGGUGGGAGACCUCCUUCAAUGCAUGUGGAUGAAUAUAUGGCCAGGGAAAGGGAACGCCGGAAUCCGUUGUCAACGGUAGUUGGGGAUGCAACAAUACAGGUGAAGAGUGCAACACCCGUGAAUGACUCACCUAUGGAGAAGUUGAACAAGCCUAAACAAUUGAAAGCUGAUCUUGAUGAUGAUCUUCAAAUUGACAUACAAUUUGAUGGUGAGGAGUGUGAACCUGAUGACAAAUUGCCCUUUCCUCAGCCUGAUGAUAUUCUACAGCUGCCUGCUCCUGUGGUUGCUGAGCAAAGCUCUCCACACUCUAUUGUUGAAGAGACAGAGAGCGAUGUUCACUCCACACCGCUAACAUCUAAUAUGGAUGACAACACACAAAGUGAAUUUUCUUCCAGGAUGUCAGUUUCACGUCCUGAAAUGCCUUUGACUCGAGAACCAAGUGUUUCUUCAGACAAGAAGUAUUUUGAGCAUUCUGAUGAGUCAAAGAAUCCUACAUUUGUUAAGGCUUCUAGUGGUUUUGAAUCUACAGCAGCAGGAAAUAGUCCUAGAUUCCCUGUCUUUGGCUAUAAUAAUUCAUCGGGACCUUCUGCACAGUUGCCAGUUGAUUCAAGAAUGAAUCCACAGAAUUUUUUUCCAAAGAACAGUUCACAACAUGUAGGUAAUGUGCCUAUGGCUACAGGUUCUCCAGGAUUUUAUGACCCGAGGUUUCUUUCAAAUCAACCUCCUUUACCUCCAAUGCCGCCUCCCUCAACAGUUGCAGCUUUGAUGUCUCAGACUUCUGAUACAGUUCCAAGUCAAUCAUCCCCGUUUGUGAACUCCAUGAAUGAGGGACAGCAGCCCUCCACAACCUAUCAGGUCAGUUCUUAAGGCAUGUUCUUUAGACUUUUAAUUCAGCUCUAUUUCUGGUAUAUCUGCAUAUAUUAAUGUCUUGAUUGCUCUUGGCAGAUUCGUUCAGAUUAUCCUUCUGCAUUCAAUAAUGGUUCUUCAUCCAGAAGUUCCAUCUCUUCUCCUAGUGGGGCUGCCAGGGCCCCUCCACCGCUUCCUCUUACACCACCUCCUUUUUCAUCCAGUCCUUAUAAUGUAACACCCAACAGAACUUCUAUUGCCCAGUCAACAGUAUAUAACCAGACAAGUGGUGGAACAACUGAACUCCCUCAGGGCUCUACUGCACCUUCGGGGGCCAGAGUAAAUGCCUAUUCAUCACCUGCCCUGGUGCCUCAUAUGGUUUUCAAUAGGCCAGGUUCUAAUUCUAUGACUAUCUAUGGACACGUCCCAACUCAGCUGCAGGGUGACAACCCUAAUAUGCUGCAGAAUCUUUCUGUCCCCCAAUCUCCAAUGCAGUCUAUUCAUACUGGUGGUCAGUUGCAGCCACUACAGCCCCCACAGCUUCCUCGUCCUCCACAACCACCCCAACAUCUUAGGCCACCUAUACAAGCUUCACAACAUCUGGAACAGGGUCCUUUGCAGAGCCCAGUUCCGAUGCAUUCACUGCAAAUGCUGCAACAGCCAAUGGUUUCACCUAUGCAGGCCUAUUAUCAAUCCCAACAAGAGUUUGCUCCUAUACAUCAGCAAGUUGACUAUUCUCAACACCAGGUUUUGCCUCAAUCAGGGGAUACUUCAUCCCAACAGCAACAAGACCCAGGAAUGUCAUUACAGGAAUAUUUCAAGUCUCCAGAAGCUAUUCAGGUAUAUUUACAUUAUCUAUUCGGUAAUUUGUAGAGGCAUAGAACAAUCUAUUGCACACUGGAAUAGGCAUAGAACAAUCUUUCAUGCAACUAUCUUUUUGGGGAAGUUUCAGCAUUUGAGCUGUGUUGAACUAUCUGGUUUUCAGCGUUUGAGCUGUUGAACUGUGGUCUGAAAUUUUUAUGUGUUUCAUCUGACCUUGGUCCAUUCUAUUUAUUUUUUCAUUUCAUGACAGUCUCUAUUGGGUGACCGAGAAAAACUUUGUCAAGUUUUGGAGCAGCAUCCAAAGUUAAUGCAGAUGCUUCAGGUAUUUUCUUCAGACCUUUUCAUCCCCCAAAGUAACUUUCAUGGUGGUUUUGGUAUUAAAUUUUUAAUGUGGAGAAACACUUACAGUUUGGUGAGCAUUUUGAUGAAAUAAUUUUUAGCCAGGAUUUCAAUUUGCCAACAAUAAUGAAAAUUGAGAUGAAAUAAGUGGAUAGAAUUAUUAAAUGGAAUUUGAAAACUAAACAGAGAAAUUAAUUGAAGUCACUCCUCCCAUGUGGUCCUUUGUGCUUUCUUGGGAAAUUCUAAUUAUGAUUUGAAAGUACUGUGGUGAUUUCUUGGCCUUUGUAUAUUCUUUUUUGUUUUCAUAUUCUCUAAUAUAAUGUUGCUGAAUUAACUGUAUCUUCUGGAGGGCUCCUCCCCUUCCCCAUAUAGAUAGGAGAGAGAGCAUUCCAUAUCUUCAUAUUCUUUGUCCUUCUGUAGUUGUAAUAUAUUGUUGCUGGGAUAAUGGCAUUUUUCUUCGAUAUGGGCUUCUUUCCAUUCCAAUGGGGAGAGCUGUUGCAAGUUAGAAACAUGUGCAAUGUAAGAAUACCUUAGAUAGUAUGCUAUCCCAAUUCAUGACCCACUAGUUUUGGUUGCUUCUUGUUGUUUAACAGGAGAAGUUGGGCGCUCAGCUAUAGCAGAAUGACUUGGAACCAAUGGAGCCUUAUUUUUUUCGGGAGUUUAUUUGAUCGAUCAUUAGAUUUUUGUCCUGUUGAAAUUUUGUUCAUAAUGUACUGUAAAUGUGUAACGUACUGUAAAUGUUUCAUGUACAUUAUGUUACGUUUUUUCAUCAACCUUUAUAGCCUUGUAAUGUAAUUUUGGCUUCCUCCAGCUUAUUAGCUGCAAAUGUCUGAUCUGUAGGUCACUGGAGCAUGUAUAAGAUAAUAUGGCCUUGACUCAAAGCUACAAGGUGAAAAAAUUUGUACAAGUAUUGUGGAAGUGUAUAGAUUAAUAUCCUAUUCAUCCGAGGGUGGCAUUGCAAAUGCAGUCAUUUGCUAGGGAAGUGAAAUUUACACCAUCUUGAAAACUACUCGUUGGUUUUUCUUUUCUUUGCCAGUGACUCGAACAAAAUUUGUUUAAAUUUAGUGUAAAUAUGUUUGGAAAUUACAAAUAAGUUUGUGCCUUUCAUACCAGCUAGAAUCUUGCCUUUUUACUAUAUGAUCCAAAUUUAGUGUCUUCCUAUUACUAGAGCUAGCGUAAUGGUGGACCGUCAUUGAGCGUGCGUUGGUUGUGUUCGACACAUUUUGUCUUGAUGACUGUGGCAACGUCAAAUUGUGACAAAUGUUGAUUAAAGUUCCAUUUACCAAAAGAAGAAAAAAAAAUUAGAAGUGACAAAGUUGGUUCCUAAUAGAUGGCGUUGAGACUGCAAUUGGUCGCACCAAUGCAUUAUAGGCUUAUUUGUGUAAAUAAUCAGGAGAUAUUAUUGGCCAGCAUGCACUUUAUAAUGCAUGCCGUCCUCAUACUUCAUAAUUUGAGCAGAGUUUUGCAAGUUCGUAAGGAGUUUGCGAUUGAAGAUAAAUGUUUUAUGUAAUUACCGGUACAUUAUAAUAGCUGCCCAAGAUUUAAUAGGAUGCGAGAGUGGUUGAGUAUGAAUCUCUUGGUGAUCAGUUAGAGACCGGGUGAACACGGUUAUGUCUGCCAUACAGACACGGGUAUUUUUUUUUUUUUCUUGUUAUUUAUAACUUCUCUUCUCUUCUCUUGUUUGUAGGGGCGUAGCUACAUUGGAACCAGAAGGUUCAAAUGACCCCUGUGAGGUUAUGACAACAAGCAUCAAUUGGUUGAUGAUUUCAUAUAUAUUACAUUUCAAUGUAUAAAUAGACCCCUCUAUCAUAAAAAGAAAGAAAGAAAAAGACAAGAUGAGAUUGUCAUUGACCAAUAAAAAAAGAUGAGAUUGUACGUGAGAUUGUUCGAUCUGCCUACAAAUUUUUAUUAUGUUAGUAGAUUUCUAAAACAGUAAAACAAGUCAUGGCUUCAUAUUGAUCAUGAUCAUCAAACUUUAAAUUGUAAUUUACGACCCUUCUAGUUAAGAUUUCUAGCUACGCCAUUGCUUGUUUGUAAUGGUUUCCAACUCUUGGCAUAGUGUUUAAGAGUAUUAUGUAUUUUGCUAUUUUAAUUAUGAUCAGUAGUUGCUUCGCCAGUCACUAAUGUACUCGACACUUGACUGCGUACAGUUGCUUCAACUGACUGGUUUCCUUUCCGAUUGACAUUCUCACAAUUCUACUUAUGCAUGAUCAUCGUAUAUGCAAGAGGACUAAUUUAAAUAAUUCACAAGCUACCGAUCCAAGAAACCCAUGAUCCAAGAGAUCCUCUCUAUGUAGAUGUUGUAUAUAUAACUAUUUAAGCACCGACGAAAGGGACAUUCCUACUUUAAGAAAUUCUGGACUCCAGAGCUACACAUGCUCUGUGCAUGCGUACGUUUCUCUUUCUUUUUGGUUUAAGAGCUGAAUACCAAGAUAUCAGGACUACAGUAUAGAGAGAACAUUAGCAAAAGAGCAUGCCUUUGUCUAGCAGGUUUAUAUAGUUAAAAGUUAAAACCCGAUGGCAGCGAUACUUGGAAAGUCGUUUGAUACCUAACGCAAACUGGAUUUUAUUCUAUAUUAAUGGCUGCCUACGUAUAUGACCAGUAUUCCAUUGUUAAUUUAUCCCUGUAUACAGUACAAUUCCGAUUCAUAUCAUUAUUAAUCCAAAACAACAGGAGUUUCACACAAUGGAAACUCUAGGCUUGAUACCUAGAUUUCUAGGUUGUAUCACUAGCUAUGAGAGCUUAGCUUUAGUCUAACUAUUAUCUUGUGGGUGAGCUGUGGUAUGGUUGGUUAAGAUGUUUAACUAACAACUUUGAGGUCAUGAGUUCAAAUCUCACUAACAUAUAUGUAAGGUGUGUGAGUUAUUUAAUAAAAAAAUUUACAAAAAAAAAAAAAAAAAUACUAGCUAUUAUCCAGUCAUUUGUCCAUUUGACUUGUGUGAUGUAUAUGAAUAUUACCUUAUCCGCGAUACCGGAACUGCAUGCUUAUACUUGCGACAUGAUGUGGGUUAAUGUGAAGAAGCGCCUUUGAGAAUAUAGAAUCUCAGAAUAGAGUUAGAGACUAAUUCUUUCAAGGUAUAUAACAUGGAUCUUGUCCAUCUCAAUCUAUAUAUCGUCAUAUGGUCAAUAUAGACAGUGAAAUUAAAGACAUAAAUAACCCACCAAAAUUCAACUAUAGCUAGUACUAUUUACUGUUUUAAAUUGGAAACGAUGAAUUGAGCUGGGUAAACAACAGGCCGGUAUGCUAAUCGAAAAAUCUCUGUUCAUGAGAUUUGAAUGUAAUUCUGGUAAUCAACAUAUUCUUUAUAGGUUUUAGAAUUGGAACACUAAAAAGUGGGGAUAGUUAUAGCAGUGUAGCACUUGGAUAUCUUCCAUGAGAGCCAUUAGUAAAAUUGCAUACAUGUUAUUAUAUGAGGAGCUGCUGCUUCUCCAAGGAACCUGAAAUCACGAUUCCGAGGGUUUUGCUUCCUGCACCAUUACCGUUGUGCUCCGUGUGGCAAACACCGACACCCUCUAUCAGCCUACGGAACUGUACAUACUAAACGGCACCAAAACCCUAAUUGAUCGAUUACCCUAUUCACACUCUUCAUGUACACGCUCGCCUGCAUUAUUAAUUUCCAAAAGAUACAUAAACCCUACCCUAUCUACCUUCAUAGCUACAUAGACCAGUCUUACAAGUUACACUGAUCUCUCUCUCCCUCUCCCUCUCCCUCUUUCUAUUUCUAUUUCUAUUAUUUCUGUUCCUCUCUCCUCUGUGCAAUAUAAUCUUAGAGAGAGAGAGAGAGAGAGAGGUUAGGGUUUGAUGAAGCCUUCAAUACUGGUGAUAUAUGGAGAGUUCUGGAUGGAAGCCAAACGAUGAUCAUCAUCAUAUAUGCCCGAAUUGUCCUCGGUGCGGUUGUUCCAACACCAAGUUUUGUUACUAUAACAACUACAGUUUGACUCAGCCUAGGUACUUCUGCAAGGGCUGUAGGAGAUACUGGACUAAAGGCGGGUCCCUCAGGAAUGUCCCCGUAGGAGGCGGCUGCCGGAAGAACAGAAGAGGCUCAAGGUCGUUAAGGCUAUCCACCAACACCACCGCGGCUAAUGGGAGUAAUAAUGCUCAUAGUGGCACAACUGGGCAUAAUUCACAUGGAAUUAGUAAUUCACUGGCUCCAGAGUCUACUAGUUCUGGAGUGUCCAAUCAGGAUGCGCCACCACGUAUUGAUCUCGCAGUCGUUUAUGCAAACUUCUUGAAUCAAAAGCCAGAUUCCAAGAGUUCAGACGGAUCUGAUCAUCAGUUACCAGAGUUGCCUGGUGAAUUCGACCCGGGUUUAGAUUUUUCAAGCUGCAUAGCAAACAUGAACAUCAAUGCAGGCUCAGGAUCAAGUAUACAGUUGAUGGAAGGAAAUGGUCUAAUUGGAUCAAUAGGAUGUCAGAGUACUGUAUCUGAAAAUUGUGGAACCAUAAACGACCACAUGUACUUUGGUGGGUUAGACCCGUUAAUCGUUCAUCAUCAGAAGCAUCAAGAUCUUAGCAGUGAUCUAGUACAGUAUACAAGUAGUACUCAUGAAUCGAUUGAUUUUGGGUUGCCACCGUUGCCAGACCAAGAGGUAUUGUGGUCUAGAUCUCACGAUCAAAUGAUGGUUAGUCCUAUCAUGCAACCUACAUCUAUGGUCGGACCAGAAGCUCACGAUCCGAACCUGUUAAAUUGGAGCCCCUUAUUCGAUUUACCAUGUACUUUCUCCAGGACAUGAUCAUGUGAAGAGGAAGACUUUGUAUUAUUCUCCAUCGUAUUCUUGUUUUGAUCAUAUACCAAAAUAUAUAUAAUUACUCAUGUGUAGAGAAGAAUUUUGGAAAUUGAAAAAUAUUAGCAUGCAUGAAAUAAUCUAUAUAAAGGCUCCUCUUUUUCUUUUCUGGUUCAUAUUUAUAAAUGUAAUUUUCGUUAAAUGUAGUCUCAGCUCGUUUCAUAAUGCAAAACCCUAAUCACAUACCAAUUCAUCCCUCAACUUAGCUGACAUCCGGAAUGCGGAUCAUACAAUACUGUACUGUUAUAGAUAGAAUAGAUUAGUUUACCAUACCACUAUAAUUAUCCAAAAACCAUACCACUAUAAGUUUAUAAUUCCAAAUUGUUCACAUUGUGACUCAGUAUACAUUGUUCAGUCAAUGCAUAAUUUUGGAAGGUCGAUCUGCUGCGUCAAGCCUGGGGUUUGCAGAGGCCUCCAUUCUCUAUUGCUUACUACCUUGUCAGUUUCAGGUGCAAGAUGAGUUGCCUGUUUUUUAAAGAACAUGUUUAACUGCUUUCCUACGGUGUGUGUUAGAGUUGUUUGAACCUUUGAAUCAGUGUCGUACCAAAUUAGAAAUCUAAAAUUGAAAAUAGUUUGCUGAUAUCAGAAAUAGUCAUCCAUAGGUAACCAAGAAAAAAUCAGAAAGAACCUGCAGAAACUUCUCACAUCAGAAUUCUUUCAGUUUUCUUGGUCUUCAACGUUGUGAACUUGUGAUCGAGAGGUUGUACAAUUUGGACCGCUGUUUGAUAUCUUAAAUUCUUAACAUUAACUACUACUACGUAUUCGUUAAAGUUCAACUACUGAAUGACUUGCUGGGAGUAAGUUAGUAUCGAAAACUACCUGGCCGUUUAUAAUGCAAGAAAUCAAUUCUUGGUCAAAAUCAAGGACUGAAUAGGGUUGAUAUAGUCCAAGUGCUGUCCUCUACCAAUUUUGAAAAGAUAUAUUAUUGCUUCUCGUUGCGCCGUACGUUAUUAUUUGUCUUCUGGAUACGAGAAGGAAAAUUUUCGAAAACUAGCUAGCCCAUUCAAAUAUGAAAACCACGUACAUGAAUUGAACCCAUGCUCAGGUUUUUGAAAACUGAUCCAGCAAAACAGCUAGCUAGCUCGUUUCAAACUUCUGCAGUCUUGUUUUGUUACUUCUCAAGUUGGUGAUUGGUUAAUUGGAACUUGGAGUCCCUUAAUAAUCGAAUAAAUUGAAGAGUAGUACGUGUAGCUAUUAUUGGUGAAGGGCUUGGCUCAGCAAACUUUAGGGGAUUGCUUACCUGAAAUUGAGUGCAACUCUUGAUCCCAGAAACGCUCAUGAUCCAAGAAUAACAAACUUCCAUGCCGUUUGAUUAUAUAUCUAUACUCACUAGCUCCACAGACGUCUAGUAUGAAGUGCCUAUAAUUAUACUACAAUGUUAAUUUGACCAAAUGAAUCAUUUUUUUUUUUUUUUUUGAAUUAAUACCAAAUGAAUCAUAUCAUACUAGCUACGAGUUACAAUGUGUUACACUAUCGAUCAGGUUGUCAAUCAAUAAUUCAAAAUCAUACAAUAAUAUAUCGGAACAUAUAUAGAACUAAAAUUAAGAGAAAAUUAGAUAAAAACCCAAAAUACUAGACAUUUUUUAAGAUAAACCCAUACAUAUUUUUCUUUCAUUUUACACCUACUCCACAUAAGCAAACUUACUAUAUAGAGCAUAUGUCUAUAAUUAAUAGUUUUCUUCAUUUUUUAGUUUCUCUGAUUUGCCCUUCAGACGAUAUAAAGCUAAAUUUGGUAUCUUUCUCAAUUUUAGCAUCAAUUUAAAACUCAAAUAUUGAGCUAAAAUUUAGUUGGAUUUAACUUUAUCAUAAUCAAUUACAUUCUUUAAUUUCUUACCUUGUUAUUACUAACUUGAGUGUAUAUAUAUAUUAUAUAUAGAAGUAUGUCAUUUGUAAUAGAAUGAUUCUUUUCAUUCUUAAGCUCACAUUUGGUGUCUCUCUACAUAUAUAGUCGAAAAAUGUCUAAUUGUAAGGUACACGUUCUUGUUCUUUGAUUAAUUUUCUUCUUUUUAGUUAUAUUUUUGAUUCAUUUUCUUCUUUUUAGGUAUAUUAUUAUAUCAUUUCUCAUUCUGAUCGGGAGAACAUUUAUAUUUCUAAUGUACCUAUUAAGCAGGACAUGAUAUAAUAAUAUACCUAAAAAGAAGAAACCCAAAAUUGGGUUUAGGGUAUAGGGUUAAGGUAAUAGGGUUUAGGGUAUAGGGUUAGGGUAUAGGUUUAGAGUAUAGGGUAUAGGGUUUAGGGUUUAGGGUUUAGGAUAUAGGGUAUAGGGUUUAGGGUUUAGGGUUUAGGGUUUAGGGUUUAGGGUUUAGGGUUUAGGGUUUAGGGUAUAGGGUAUAGGGUUUAGGGCUUAGGGCUUAGGGCUUACGGUAACACUAUAAAAUUUCUUCAUUUUACUCUAAUAAUCAGAUAUCUUAUUUAUAUUAUAUUUUACCUUAUGUAUAGAUCAUAGAAUGUAUUCAUUUCACCUAGAUUUUUUCAUAAAAAUAAAGAAACCGCAUGAUUCUUGCAAAUUGAUUGAAAAAUGUUAGUGUUAAAAGAAAAACUCAUAAUCAAGGUAUUUAAAAAAACAUCAAUUAAGCUUAUUUAUUAUGUUUAUAUAUUAUAGUUGAAUGGUGGCAAUUGUGUAAAAUUUAGAAAAAAUAGGACAUAAUAUGUAUCAUAAUUAAUAUAUUUUAGAUGUCUAUCAGAAAUGAAUAUUAUGUGGGUUUUAUUUAAAACCAUUCUUCAAAAUUGGGUGUAUAUGAAAAUCCCCCUAAAAUUAAGAAAGUCUGACUGCAUCUCUAUAUUUCAUGGCUGUAUGUAUCAAGAAAAGCAAAACAAAACUUUAACUGUUAGGCUUGAACUAAUCUCAAACUUCUAGUUCUUUUGCCCCGAAAAAUUCUUAUGUAUUCUGAAUUAGUCUCAAAUUUCUAGCUCUUUUUGACUGAGCCAUUGCAAUUACAACACCAGAAGCUAGGGUGUACUGAUCAGUGACAAUCCCAGACGUCACUUGCACCGAUGAAUAAACGAUUGUUGUCACAGCCCCAAAUUAUCUAAAUUGUUACAUCCUGAUCAAGUUGUCUAAUUUCAUGUACUCAAUAGCAAUCAAUAAUUGAUGAAAAUAUCAACCAAUUUCAGGCUUCUUCCUUUCCAACACCAAAGACUUUAAUUUAUUUAUAUUCUCAAAUUCAUGAAAUGAAACAAUCAACGAUAUGGAGAAAAAACAAAAAACAAAAACAAAAAAAAAACCCUCAAUUUUUUCUUUGAAACAAAACUCCAAAUUGAGGUUACUGCGCCAUGAAUUGGAAGGCGUGGGUUAACGACAAAAUUAACGAUACUUUCCAGAUUUUAUAAUAGCUGUAUAUGUGUCACGAUAUAAAGCGGAUAAGAAAGGGCAAAUGAGCAGAUCUUCACACGAGUUUUUGAAGACGUGGUGUUAAUGUCUAGACGGAGUUUCUUUUUUUUUUCUUUUGAAAAAAUCUCAUGGCUAAAAGUUUUUUUUCGAUUAAGAUGAUCAUGGCUAAAAGUUUGACACACUAAACAUGUAAAACUAGUGACUAGAGUAGAGAAGAAGCUAAUUUAGACCUUAAUUUAGUCAUGCAAAUGUAUCAUAUGCAUGCAUAAUGCAUGUAUAGGACUUGGUACAACAGUAGACUUUAUUCUACUUAGUUUAAAGAUUUGCUAAUCUGCUGUCGAUCGUAUCAUGUUGGGUAACCGACGUGGAAAAUUAUUAAACUCGAUGGAUAUGAUUUUUCAUAACAAAGUUGCAAAUGCUGACUGGUAUUUGGUGCUGAUGAGAUGAGUGACUAUGACUUAAGUGGAUAUCAAUGACAUUCCAUGCAUACAUACAUAUAAAUACAUAUAUAUUCCUUUCCGAUGAGAGAUAACAACUCAUUAUUAGAUCUGUUUUUUUUAAUGAUUUUGGAUGACUAAGAUUAAAUAAUAAAUUCAACACUUUCUGACAAAUCUGAACAGUUCAAUUUUAAUUUAUUAAAAAUAAAUCAAAGUGUUGGACGACUUAAUGAUCACCAAAUCUUCUGAAAACUUGUGGAAGUGAUCUACUCAUAUAGAUCUACAAAUUAAAAGGUGGAGAUGUGAUUUUGUAAUCAGAAAGUUCGUCAAAUACCCUAUCCCUAGCCUAGAAAUAGAACAAAAAAAAGGAAUCCCUCAUUAGAAGGGCCCUGAUAUAUAUAUAUAUAUAUAGACACACACACGGAGCCGUUCAGAAAAAGACGUCUGCACAGCCCUUAAAGUGCGGACGUCUCUGAUUUCUCCACCUUCAGGCGUUGACGACACCGUUUCUUCUUGUCGGACGGACAGCAAACCUUGAUACUAAGCUUCCUCUUCUCGGUGGACUCGCCGGCUACAAGUUUGCAGCCAACCUUGAUCGGUCUUGAAGUUUUCAGUGAGGUUGUUGCCCAGAGCUCUGAUCCUGAUCUCCUUGACCUUCUUCUUCAUGUCAACGCCGUCCCGGAAGCCUCUAGUGUUCAUCUGACAAGAGAAGCGCCGUCGUCGACGCUUGAAGGUGGAGAAAUCAGAGACGUCCGCACUUUAAGGGCUGUGCGGAAGUCCGCCUCUGACGGGCCUGUAUAUAUAUAUAUAUAUAUGUAUAUAUAUAUAACGGGACACUGCUUUGAAAUUAAAGUGUGAUGCUCCUCAUUUUGCUCAUUUUUAGGCCUAAUUUUCACAUCUCCACUGUUCAGUAUCUAGAACAUAGUGUGUAAAUUAUUUCUUGCAAAGUUUCAUCUAAUUUGGAAAUCAUUUGAGCUUCCGUAAUAUAUGUUAUAGAGAUUUUCGCAGGUAAGGAUAUCCUUAUUUAGUCUUACGGUGCGGAUUUCCACUUUAGACUCACUUUUCAAUUGAAUUUUCACAUCUCCACCAUCUAAUCUUUAUAUUUUAAUGUGUAGAUCAUUUAUACAAAUUUUCAGCUAAUUUGAUAAUCAUUAAGGUCUUCAAAAUUGUGUUUUUCUGUUAUAAACAUGAAUGGUUCAAGUUUGACAAAAUUCAGUUCAUUAAUUGGUUUAAUCAAGUUUGAGUGCCUUAAAGAUUAUCAAAUUAGUUGAAAACUUACAUAGAUGAUCUACAUGUUUAGUACCUAAAAAAUAGACGGUGGAGAUAUGAAAAUUCGAUUGAAAAAUAAACGUAAAAUGAAAAUCUGCACCAUAAAAAUAAAUAAGGACCUCCUUAGUCGAGAAAGUUUGAUAUAUAUGUAUAGUUGGUCUAAAUUUAUAAGUUCGUAUAAUAUUCGAACUAAUAUCACGUAGAUAUAUUGUCGGAUUUCACGACUCGGGAUGGCAUUGACGGUGGUAUACGCCUAGCUAGCAUGUGUUGCAUUACUAGUUAUUUGCAAGCUGUGUCUUGCGCGCACGUCCGGGGGAGCUUCCUUUUGUCAACUACUACACAUCCCAUUCCAGUGCCGACUACAUUUAUUUUAUUUACGGGACAAUAUUGCUCUUUUUUUUUGGUUAUACAGAAGGGACUUAAAAGGCCCAAACAAAGAGGAAAAACAAAACAGCAAAACUACAAGCUAGAGGCUGGAACAAUAUUGCUCUUUUAGACGCCGUUUGUGCAUAAUAUGUGAUUUAUAUGAUAAAUAUAGCUCGCUCUUUCAAUAGUGUCACUUGUUCUUACAAGCAAUUAAGUUUCCACCGAAAAAGCGGUAAUCUUAUACAUACGUGGUAGUUUGAGGUAUGUAAAUUUGUUGAUUUACGUACAUAUGUACCUGGUGACUUAUUCCUACUAGUCGUAGUUUGGACAAUUCUGUUGGCGACAGUAUCUUGCGGAAGAUUGAUCUAGCUACAUGUCUACUUCACCAACAUGCGUUAUAAGUCAAAAGACUCAAAAUGCAUGCUAAUCUGUUUCCAUGAAUUAGGGAAGUAAGAGUAUAUAUAUGGUCUCUAUUCAUUCUAAAGAGAAGUGUAACUACGUUGUAUACAUCUCUUUGCAUAUUCGUAGGGUCACCGGAUUAUUCGAUGAGGAAUCAUGAAAUAUAUAAAACAGUCCAAUAACAUCAAAGAAGAUAAGGAAUUCUUUUAUGCACGACGUGUAAAUACACGGUGUAAUAUUUGUUAUUCAUAACAAUUCGUAUGCUUGACCACCAUGUUUCUUAUAUAAUCUUGAUCAUUCAUAUAUAUAUAUGAAUAUACUUUGUCAUGUACCGAAGAUGUUCUCGAAGAAAAUAAGCAACUUUUCCAUCACAUCUGAUUUCUUGAAAACGGGAAAGGGAGGACAUGCGCCACUCAAGAGCGGAUUAGGGGGGAUACGUAGACGCAACUAUUUCAAGCCGAAUGUUUGUUGUGAAUACUGAAUAGUACGUGAAAGAUUUAUUCAGCUCUCUAUUCACAUGCAUGUUUGUAUAGCUAUAUUUGUGUAAGGAAAAUGCGGACUUGUAGUUAGGAAAAUGCUUGGUUUUCCAUGAGUUUCCGUAUAGGAAAUUAGGAAUUACCUGAUGAAUCAAGUUUUCAGAAAGCCAUGCAUGAACUAGUGUUACAUUUUAUAUGUUUCGCAAGAUUAUAGAAAGGAACGUCUUGUAAACACUAUUUAACAUUUUUGAUUAAUUUACGGUGUGAAACAAGGGAUUUUUGAUUAAUUUAUGGUGUGAAACAAGGGAUUAGAUUCACGUACGUGUCCCAUACAUAGCUAGCAAAGUCUCAGGUGAAUAAAAUUCUUACGUUUACAAGUAAUCCCGUGCAUUAUCAUGAAAAUUAUAAUAAUCAGUUUGGGCGGUCGCUUAGUUAAAUAGUUAUAUCUUGAGCUGUACUUUUCUUUGCUAAGAAGGAAGUUAAUCGUAAAAUAUAAAACUUAGCAAUCCCAGUUCUAAAUCCAUAACAAUAGUAAAAACUACAGGAAUGUAAAACCUAAAUUAUUAUUCGGUCCACAAAGAUGGGCAUCUGAAUUGUAUAAUGCACUUUGUAGACUCUUUUUUAAUAUUUCUGGCCUCCGCUGGCUGCUGGCUAGUUGAACCAAAGAAAGUCCACAUUGCUAGCUAGCGCUAUAGAUCGCGAGAAGCAGCACAUCGGUCGAUCUCCUAACUAACCAUGCUACCUAGUUCCUUCCUUUCUAGCAACUGCCGGUGCAAUUUGGACCAUUUCUCACCAAUAUCAACUUGCAAGAACAACAUCAAGGCUAGCUACCCAGAACUUAAUUCCAAACAACUUGCAUGAAAUAUAUGGCUUUUCAUUUAUGAUCCAUCACAUUCACUUCCCUGCCAGAAAUUUCCAGAUUUUGAAGUCCCAUGAUUUUGUUUUUCCCAAAAAAAAGGAAACAUAUCCGUUGGAACUGCAUACUUUAAAUUUAUAUUAAGAAGCGUAUAGGGCAACCAAGAUUCACAAUGUCAAAAAACAAGUUGGAACUGCAUACUUUAAAUUUUCCGACCUUCAUUACAAUCUGACAACAAUAUAUAUGCUAGCUUUGAACCAAUUAUCAACCUUUAGGCGAUACAUGAUUUACUUAAUAUGUGUGAUUUGUAUUUGAUUGCAUGAAUUCGAAGAUACAUGUUUGAUUGCAUAAAUUCGAAGAUUAUGAUUAAGAAUGUAAGAAAAAUAUGUUGAUAAAGAAGGGUAAGUGGCAUGUCAUUGGAAACACACUUGUGGAUCUAUAAUUCGUGAUCAUUAAUUUUGUAUAAUCGUAUAAUCAAUCAAUUAUAUAUGUACACAAAAAGUGAAGAUUGAAGUUGCUAAAAUGAGAAACUAAUUAGGGUCUUAAUUUCUUGUUUGAAAAUCUCAAGAAGGAUAAGAAGAAAUCAAAUUGUUUGGUAUACAGGUGGAGCUCUUCCAUGUCCUUGCAUGCAUUUUCAAGAUCUCUAGAGCCUUUUCCUUGGUCUUGCUCCCACUGUCCACUUGAAGCACCAAGCAAAGCUUUGCCACUACACCCAGCUGCAACAUUUCUUGCAAGACGCUACUCGUCGCCGAGAACUUGCAAAUCGAGAACAGAAUCCUCACCGCCCUCUCGCUCGCUACCUUCGAGAUCCUCAUUAUCUUCUUCGAAACCACUGCAAGACCAGCACCAUGCUUGAGGAGCUCGGCCCGCCCCUCGGCCGAGCUACAAGCCAUGUCGAGCACCAUCAUUGCCAUCUCGUGAGUCCUUCUGUCUGGUGAAGCAUCCAGAAGGAGCUCGAUCAAGACAUUAACGGCUCCGGCUUCCACGGCCUUGAUUCGGUUUCUUCCCCAAGGACAGACUUUGAUCAACAGUUGCAAUGUGGCUUUUGAGGCCUGCGUGGAAAUCUGAUCUUUCAAGACCUGAACUACUUCGCAGAAGAACUCAGGUCUCAAGUUGAUCAUCUUCAUUGUAUCGGCGACUUCAAACAUCGAUCUCAGCAUCAUCACGGCGUAAGCUCUCGACUCGUAAGUGCCUCUUUGGAUGAGCUUUACCAACGACUCGAUGAGCUCGCUUUCUUUGCCUAGAAGACUCUGGAGUGCGGAUUCCGAGACUUGAAGAUUGUAGAGGACGCUCAGUGCUUCUACCUGCUGUUCAGUAUCUCCUUUAAGGAGUACCGAAGCCAAAAACUCAACCGCGCCGACGGAUUCCAUGGAUCUUUUGUUGGCCUCGCUCUCGGAGGCGAUGGAUCUAAGCCUGCGGAGGCAUUUUGUGACGGACUGUGGCGACCUGGCUGCGUCGUUUAACAGCUUGGAGAUUUGAGCUUUGCUGACGGGAGGCUUUGGAGUUGGGAUCCUCUCGACGCCGUGAGAAGCGUUGAGUGUGCACCAAGCUUGGAGCAACCGCCGGAGAGUGUGGUUGGGGGUCAAGUCGGGGUCGGAAACUACUUGUUUGGUUACGGGGCAGGUGUUGUUCUUGCUGGAGAAAAGCCACUUCUCGAUGCUCUCCCUGUCGUAGGUUAUCCCCGUCGAGAUAGUCACCGGGUCUUUCAUGAUUUGCAGAGAGAUUGGGCAGAUGAAGAACGAUGGAACGUCGAUUUCUUCCAUUAAUUUGGUCGAUGAGAGAAGCUAAUAGAGAAAGGGUCUGCUGUUGUUGUACGUUGCUGAAGGUGUUGGUUAACGUUGGUUGAAGAAGGAUGAAGUUGUGAAUGGGGUUGAAGAAGUUAUAUAUAGGUGAGCUGAAGACUGGGAUUCUUCAAAUAUACGAAAGUCAAAACACGGGAAAUACGAGAGCGUUGAGAAGAGAGUAGAAGGGGAGGAAGACUUUUCUAAGGUGGUAUUUGAAAGGCUCAAGAUGGAUGAACUUUACCAGGUCAUUAUUAUUAUUAUUUUUUUUUCAUAAUUAAGAUGGGAUUGCAAUCGCAACCCUUUUGACUUUCUCAAUUCUGGGUUUCUCUCUCUAACUCGUGCCUUUUACAUUCUCAAUGCCGACAAACUGUAAUGGGGGUGUGGGGGCAAAGCUGUGCUUCUUUGCACAAUCUUGGCUGCUGCUGCUCUCACUCCUCUAGGGUUUACUUGGAAUUAAAAUUGACCAACACAGAGUUUAAUUUUGGCACAUGGAAGAAAAUUUGGACCGCCUGAUACAUAUGUGAUCUGGGUGAUGAAAGACAUGUGCGUUUGUCCUAGUCAAUCUCUGAAGGUAUAUAUACGUAUGUAAGUUUAUAUAUCUGUACGUACGUAGAAAACGACUCGAAGUAUAUAUUGAUUCAUUGUUUUUUAUCAAAUAAGUAAAGGGAGGGUGGUGAAUACUUCAUACUUGGGGGUCUGAUGCCAUGGAUCAUUAUGCACAAUCAUUUGCGUUCAUUGCUGGAAAUGGUAAAAGCUCCAAAGUAGUAGGUAAAUAAUAUUUAAUCGAAAAAAGUUGAUAGGUAAAUAAUAACGGCUAGGAAUUAUCUAACUAGAAGUAGUUAACGGGAAAAAAACCAGAGGGAAAGUGGAAUUCUUCUUCGCCGCAAGCUUUUCAAUAACGAUAAUACAAUAGAACUUCAAACUUUAAUUUGUUGAAUGAGCAUCACUCUACAAAACUACAAAAGAAAAAUAAAAGUUGUUGGCCCUGUAUAAGUCGCAUAAGAAUAUAUAUAUAUAUAUAUAUAUAUAUAUAUAUAUAUAUAUAUAUAUACUACCUNNNNNNNNNNNNNNNNNNNNGCUUAUGUCAAACUAAAACCGUUGAAGGCCAUUAAAACUAAAUUGAACUUUUGAAAGCCUUAACGAUCACCAAAUCAUAUGAAAUUUUGUAGAGGUGAUCUACUUAUAUAGACCUAAGAUAUGAACGGUGGAGAUGUAAAAUUAUAAUCAGGAAGUUGGUGUAAUGCCAUAUCCCUAUAAAUAGCUUAAAAUAGGGAUCCCUCAUUGGAAGGGCCCUGAUAUAUAUAUAUAGAUAUAUAUAUAUAUAUAUAUAUAUAUCUAUAUAUAUAUAUAACGCAUUAUGAAACGCAAAUGCGUGUGCAUGUUCACUCUAAAUCUAUUAUUACGUGCUAGCUAAUUAUCAUUAUUAGUUUAUUAUCAUGUAACAAAGUUGAUUAAUUUCUUUAUCAAAAAACAAAAAAAUAAAAAAAUUAGGAUACAUAAAAAUUUAGACCAAAUAUUUGUGAGCAUGCAUGCACGUACGCGUUGAUCUUAAUUAAAAUUUUCGUAAUUUGAUGACUAAAACCAAGUUAAUUACAUCUUCAGCUACGUAGAAGCUCGUACAGUUAAGAUAAUAACGGGGAACAAUAUUACAUGGGAAUUAUGGGACAGUAGAUUAAUUAAUAGCAACUAGGUUUUGAAGGCAAUUAACUUGAACACCUCAGUUGAUUUUGUCAUCGUACAGUUCAAUUAAACAUUGCAAACAAUGCUAAAACGUAGAACAAUGUCUAUUAAACCAAAACGAAAAAAAAAACUAGGUCAACUUCAUGUUUAUUAUUUUAAUGUAAAGGUCAGGAUAUAUAGAUACUAGCUAGUUCAUAAUAUUUGUUCACAUUUCUCACAAUAGUGAAAAUGAUAGUAACAUUUGUAAUCACAACUAUCAUGGCCUUUCUUGUACUCCAACAGCUUCUCUAAAAUUUCUCCAAAAUAUACUUGGAUAUUGUAAUAUGUACUGGGAAAGCAAAAGUCAAAAUCUCUAAAAAAAAAUUUGCUCUAACUCCAACAGCUUCCCUAUUUUAGAGAUUUUGACAUUUAUUACUAUAAUUAAAUAUUCUACAUCAUUUUUAAUUAUAACAAAAUUAAAAGUCAUAUACCUUAUUAUAACAAUAAAAUACUCAAUAAUAUAUUUUAUAUUUUAUACUUCUUAUUGGAGUAUGUGAGGAUCUAAUUAUGACAAUGUUAAUUUCGAUAAUUUGGAGAAGGAAGGCUUUGCUGCAAAUUUGGGGAAUGAGUGAUUCUCUUUCUUCUCUAUCCUCAUUUUGGGGAAUGAGAUGAGGAAGCUGUUAGACCUAAAAAUAGCUCUAUAUUUAAAAUUGAUAAGUCUAAGAAAAUGAAGAAGCUGUUGGAGAUGCUCUAAGUUUGGAAAAUGAAUUUUGUUAUCGAUGCAGAGUAUGAGAAUUUUGGAUCAUUAAUUUUUCAUGAUUUAAUAAUGAGUUUAAGGCAGAAUUAGUUUCCUCGUCUUUCUUUCACGGAGAAUUCUCUCGCAUCUUCACGAAUGACUUAAAAAUAGGUGGAUCAAUUGAAACACAAUAUUAAACACUCGGAUAUAAAACCUUGAUAUGUACUGUUUUAUGUAAGAAAGAAUAUAUGCGUACUGAAAUUGAAUAUUUUAGACUUUGGCUUGUAUAUAUUGUCUUCACAAAGUAUACUUGUAUCUUUAAUUAACAGAUCGAUUUGAAUCUAAUCACAAGAGGAAGCUUCAAAUUGAGUGAUGAAAUGCAUGACGCAAGAGCCUUCGUUAUGCAUAUGCAUGCAUGCUUCAAAUUAAGUCUUAUCUGCUCCUCCAUGCCCUAAUGGAGUGGUUGUGUAUUGGAUGGGCAAUGAUGACUUGACUUGCCUCUUCGAGGUCAGCCACGGCAUAUUUUGCUCGCGUGCCCUAAUUAAUUCCCACCCAGUAAGCCGCUAUGCUUAAGUAGUACUACAGCAACUGGAGCUGAUCGACCUGCUAGGUAACGCCCACAGGAAUAAGAGCUCGAGUGGUCAAGGCUGGAUAGUAAUACGUAGUUGCAAACGUGUGCACGAAGCGUCGACGAGUGGUCCGCCACCGCCAGCCACACCAGCGCCGGUUUGUUCUUAUCCAUCGAUCAACAAGCUAGCUAGCUUUAAAAUUUGAUUUUGAUUAUUCUUUUUUUGAGAAGGAUUUUGAUUAUUCUUGUUGAGGCUGGCCGGGCUGAGAGUGAGACAUAUGGAGAGGUGGACGUGCAUGUUUCAGCUUAAUUUCAUCCCCAAUCCUACUCCUGUGUGGACCUGCAUGCUUCUUGCCUCUCUCAACUUGCACACUUGCUGUUCUUGAAGCUGAAUAUAUAUCCAACUAAGCUAGGUUUAAUUUUGAAAUUAUUAAAAACUUGACGGACAUUUCAGUUUUUUGUAUUUUUUUAUUGUUUUUUAUCAGAUAAAUAACUAAUAUGCUACAACGAGUCUAUUAUGUGUCGAACUCACGACUUCUCAUUUAUAUAGAGAGACUUAUGAUGCUAGACCAAACGGUAAUGAAAAUGUAUUUCUGUAUUAAUAUAUAUUGAUAUUUAAAAUGUUCAUUCACAUUGUAUUUGAACGGAUAACCUCUACGUACGGUAUAAGACCACGACUCAAAACUGAAAUUAUGAAGUAUCAAAACUCUUUUUGAAAUUGAAGUAAUUAACAAGUUAAGCUUGAGAGAAUUUGUGUUUAACAAAAUGUCAACCAUUUAACCAGUUGCCACAUGUACGUCGUGAUCAGCCAGUUGUACCUGGGAUUCAAUCAUAUAUAUUUUCAAUGGUUUUGAUUUCAGUCAGACUAAGAGUAGUACGUAGAUCACAUCACAGGUGACUUUGAAGCUUCAACAUAAUCAUCACCGACUGUGGAAAAUCUGCUUUUUUUGUUUCUUUUAAUCUUUAACCAAAGCAAAUUUUGUGAUGUCUUUAGUUUCAAUAAUUCUAUACGAUCGUCCAACUGAAAAUUUGUCCGUUCGUUCUAAACCUCAUUAUCAGAUUGUUAUGAUGGGGUUCUGAUGCGUCUCUAUGUAAAACAAUGAGCUGUUUGAUCAUUGCCAUAAAAAGCAUUUUAUCAAAUCAAAUUAUGGAAGAAAUAAAAGACAAAUUUAAAACAUUUUUAACUACAUCUCGGAGAAUGCUCCUUGUAAGAGGUACAUUAAGGCGAUAGUGAAGGUUUUUUUUUUUUGAGAAUGUAGGCGAUAGUGAAGGUUAGAGUUUGAUAUAUAAUGUUCCGAUCCAAUCCUUACUCUAGGGUAUGAUUAUGAUCACAGUACGUCCUGCAUACAAGAAUAGAAUUGCACUACAGGUACAAGUACCUAAAACUUGCGAAAGAUUGUAGAGAUUUUUUUAAGCAUUUUUUACAAAGUACCUAAAACUUGCGAAAGAUUGUUGAGAAUUUUAAGCAAUCUUUUUGAAAUAGAAUUAAGUUUAAACAUAUACUACAUGCUGAGAUGUGUACGUAUCUCUUGGCUUGUGGAGUUGUGGAUGCUCUGCAUGUGAGCUUGGAUAACAGUUCAUAUUAGAAGGUUAGAUACAGUUUAACAACGGUUGACAGGCAGAUAGUGAUCAAAGCAAAAAGAAUCUGAACCUUUAACUAGCCCAAUUUAAUGUAAUCAUCAAACAAAAUAUGGGCUGAAUUAGCAUCGAUCAAUGGAAGAUUUAGUCGACAUGGCAAAACUUGAACAAUAUAUGACAUUCAAAAAGAAUAAUAUUGAACAUUAGCUAACAGUACAGUAAAUUUUUGUAUGAUUCAAUUAGCAGUAGCUAUAAACGUACAUUACUAAUUAAGAUUCUUGGGUAUACGUACAGAAAAAAAUCUUUUGUGUGUAUGUAUGAUAUAUAUACAGGUAAAUUUCAGAAAAAAAAAAGAAGAAAAAGAUAUAAAGGUAAAGUAUUGUAGAAUUUUCCCAGAAUCUUUAUAUGAAUUGACAAGAUUGACUGUUUCGAUUCAGCAUAAUCUAUGUAUGCUCGUCUUGGGGCAAACUCAAGCCUUUCCAAUGAAGUAGAUAAGCUACACACGUCCAACGAACCAAAAUAUUUCGUGAACAAUUCAACUUGGAUAAGCUUAAUUUGGAACUAUAUUAAUAGGCCAUGAGAGUACCUGACCUCGAUCAUUUCCCAAGUACAUCAUUUAACACAACAAUGUCAGUUCAGAUUGAAAAAUAAGGAGAAUACAUCGGCGGCAGAGAGAUGUCUUCAUUCUUCCGUCAAUCUAAAUGCAACAUUUUCUGAGUUUCAUAUUCAACUUCGACUAAGAACUGAAAGGAUUUCAGGUCCACAUACAUGCAUGAAAGCUGGGGGUGCUUUUGCAGUAACCCUAAUCCUAUAGUGGGGUUUUCGUUAGCGAAGAAAACAUGUUGUAGUGGGUUUUCAUCCAUUUAGACAGUUCUAGUUCCACCUUGAUUUGGCUCACGUGUCGUAAACCUAAAAGCAACGUCCUAAAAGCAACGUUAAUAAUGUUGGUGUGUGUGUAUAUAUACACACACAAUGCUAUCAGGUGUGGACGUCCGCACCAAAGUUUUGGUGCGGAUUUUCAUUUUUGCACCACUUACCGAUCGAAUUUUCUCAAACUUCCUUCUAGACAUAUCUAGAUUAUCUUGUGUAGAUCAUCUCUGCAAAAUUUCAGCCAAUUUGGUGAUCGUUAAGGCCCUCAAACUCGAAAAACAAAUGGACGGACUGAAUUCUGUCCGGUUGUGUUCAUACCAGAAAAACUCGAGUUUGAGGAUAUUGUCCACAUAAUGUGAUUGACUUAAUACAAGUCCAUUGGAUGUUCUUGUGAUUUUAAUCCCCAAUAUGACAUCAGCAUGACCCAUAUCUUUCAUGUAAAAUACGGAAUUUAACACAUCCUUAGUCGAUUUGAUCAUCUUUUCAUUGCUUCCAACGAUAAGCAUGCCAUCAACAUACAAACAUAUGAUGACAUAUCCAUUUUCUGUGUCUUUGACAUACACACAUUUAUCACAUUCAUUGAUCUUGAAUCCACUUGUGAUCAUAGCGUUGUCAAAUUUCUCAUGCCACUACUUUGGUGCUUGUUUUAAGCCAUACAAUGACUUUACCAAUUUGCACACUUUCCUUUCUUGACCAGGAGCGGAGAAACCCUCAGGUUGCUCCAUAUAAAUUUUCUCUUCAACUUCUCCAUUAAGGAAAGCGGUCUUCACAUCCAUUUGAUGUAUUUCAAGAUUCUGCAAUGCGGCGAUUGCAAGUACCAUUCUGAUAGAUGUUAUUCUUGUCACAGGAGAAUAAGUGUCAAAAUAGUCCAGACCUUCUUUUUGCUUAUAACCUUUAAUCACAAACCUUGCCUUGUACUUGUCUAUUGACCCAUCAGCUUUCAAUUUCCUUUUGAAAAUCCACUUGGAGCUUAAAGAUUUACAACCUGGUGGAAGAUCCACCAGUUCCCAAGUGUGAUUUUGCAAAAUGGAGUCAAUUUCACUCUUGAUAGUUUCUUUCCACAAAGGACGAUCAGUAGAGUUCACCACCUCUUUACGAGGUUCACCUUCAAGCAUAUAUGUCAAAAUAUCUAACCCAAAGGAUUUUUUUUUUGUCCUUGCUCUCUUCCUUCGUCUAGGUUCAACCUCAGACUCAGUUUCUUGAUGACAUUAGCAGCCUGGCUAGUUCCAAUACUAGCCUCACGUGUCCGUUUCGAAGAACUUGAUUAUUCUCUAGACUUACAUGGAAACACAUUUUUGAAAAAUGAUACAUUUCUCGAUUCCAUUAUUGUGUCCUUAUGUAUAUCAGAGAUUUCUAAUUUGUGCACAAGGAAACGAUAAACCGUACUAUUAUGUGCAUAUUCAAUGAAAAUGCAAUCAACUGUUUUAGGCCCAUUUUUCACCUUUUUAGGUUUAAGGACUGUCACCUUAGCCAAACAUCCUCAUACUCGCAAGUAAUCAUAGGAUGGCUUUCUUCCUUUCCAUAGUUCAUAUGGAGUUAUCUCUUCUUUCUUUUUAGGAACCUUAUUUAAAAGGUAAUUAGCCGAUAAAAUGGCGUCUCCCCACAUGUUGGGUGGCAACCCAGAACUUAGUAGCAUUGCAUUCAUCAUUUCAAUCAAAAUACGGUUCUUUCGUUUAGCAACGCUGUUGGACUAUGGCGAGUAAGGUGUGGUUCUCUUGUGAAUAAUCCCAUGUUGAGCACAAAAUUUAUCAAAUGGCAAUUCAUACUCACUUCCUCGAUCACUUCUUAAUACUUUGAUUUUCUUAUCGAGUUGAUUUUCGACCUCACUCUUAUAGAGAACAAAUUUCUCUAUUGCCUCAUCUUUGCUCUUCAGCAAAUACACAUAGCAGUAUUUCAUGAUGUCAUCGAUAAAGGUAAUAAAAUAUCUGUUACCAUCUCGAGACUGUGUUGAUUUUAAAUCACAUAUAUUGUUAUGGAUUAAAUCAAGGGGUUCAUUGUUUCUUUCAACGGUCUUGAAAGAUGAUCUCGUUAGUUUUGCCUCAACACAAGUUUCAUACUUAUAUUUCGCAUCAAUUUGGAAUGUUGGUAAGUGUUCCAUGUUAAUUAGCCUUCGUAAAGUGCCAUAAUUAACAUGUCCUAGUCUACCAUGUCAUAAAUUAGAAGACUCAAGCAUAUAAGUGGAAGUGCUAGCUUCAUUCAUAUUUUUGACAAUUGUCAUUACAUUUAGUUUGAACAUUCCAUCACUCAUAUAGUCAUAUAACCCUUACCCACAUACAUUCCACUCUUGGACAAAACAACCUUGUCAGACUCUAUCACUAUUCGAAAACCAUGAGUGUUCAGCAGUGCACCAAAGAUAAGGUUCUUGCGGAUAUCAGGAACAUACAAAACGUUGUUCAAAGUUAGUUCCUUCUCAGAGGUCAUCUUCAGAACCACAUUGCCCUUGCCCUCAGUGACAGAUGUGGUUGAGUUUCCCCAUCAGUGGUAGGCUCAAAUUUGGAGAACAUCUUCUUAUCAGCACAGACAUGGCGAGUAGCUCCAAUGUUGAGCCACCACUCCUUUGGGUUUGAGCCCACCAUGUUCACCUCUGAGACCACAGCAGAGAGGUUAAUGUCAGAGACAUCUCUUGUGACAUCUUCAAUCAUGUAGGCUUCCUUGCUCUUCUUCUUCUUUGGCUUGUUGCAGUCAACUUUGUGACCAGUCUUGUCACAAUUGAAGCACUUGCCUUCAAACCUUGCCUUCUUGGCAAUGCCUCCUCUUGUUCCUAGCUUGGACCCUUGAUUUUUGAACUUUUUGGUCUUGGAGCUUUGACCAUGUUCCACAACAUUUGCCUUGGUGGAGUAGCCACUGACCCAUGCCUUCUUUUCAGAUCCUCGGUUGUCUAAAGAUUGUAAGAACAAGGUUAGAUAUUGCAAAUAUAUAUUCAUAUAAAUCCAAUUUAUAAUUAAAAUAAAUAAUUAUAAUUGUAAAAUCAAGAACACAAGAUGAACAUGAAGAACAUCAAUGUUACUAACUCGGCUAUAAGAGGAGAGAAAAAAGUUGAAGUCAAGUCGUGUGUCUCACACACUUUCCUUAAGACAAAUUAUGCCUCCUCUAUCGGUGCAAAAGGCCUGAUGACACUUGUCUCCUAGGAUACAACGGCCGCUCAUGUUUUUGGAGCUGCACUGCUACCAAGAACACCCGACGAACUUGUUGUACCUUCUUUCUAUCACCAGAAAGCUAAAACUAGAGAAAGAGAGAGAACUCAAGAGAGGAGGAGAAGAUUUUGAGUUGGUGUAUAUAGAAUGAGGGAAGAGGUCACCUAUUUAUUCAUGAGGAAACCUUAGAAUCACUUGAAUGUCAUGAAUAUGAAUUCAUGAGUUACAACCCUUUCACCUUUGGUGUAGUUAAAACCUUGUAAUGUUACAACCUUUCAUAACACCACAACCAUUCCAUUUAACAUCCACUACCAUUCCAUUUAACAUCUUAUGAUGCUAUAGAAUCCAAACAACCAUGGAAGGUGAAAAGUAUAAAACUGUUUCAAGUAUUCAACUUUGGGUGACUAUUCUCAUUCACACCCUAUAACCCACUUAAAUUAUCCAAUUUAAAAUGGUUAAAUAAAAUAGUGAUUUUCACCAUUUUUUCCAAUACGACACGUAGGCCAAACUCAGACCAACAGCAUCCGGUCUAUACACACUAACUACAUGACAUAUUAUAGGACCAACGAACAGCUAGCCCUAACACCUUCAAAAACCCAUCAACAAUGCCGCCAUGAUGGUGUACGUGCCGUCGCACAAGAUCUGACAACAUAUGGAGAAGGCCAAGCGCGUUAGGGUUUUUGUGGAGGGAGAGGUUUUCUUUCUUGUUUUAUUGAAUUACCGAUUCAUUUUUUUAUUGGAUAAAUAACUACAAUACAAGUGUAUCGUGAGUCGUACUUACAACUUCUCACUUAUAAAGAGGGGACUAUGCCACUAGACCAAUCGGGUAAUCGGUAAUGGACAGUUACCGAUUCAUCUUAAACAUCCUUAAUAAUUGAAUAAAAUGAUCUUUAAUUUCAAAAUCAAAAUAAUUAUAGGGUGAACUAAGGAAAAUAAGAUGAUAAGAAGAUAAUAACCGCAUUCAACGUGAAUUAAUGGUUAAAAGUUAAAACGAUUUCUCAAAUUCUAGAUGAAGAAUGUUUCAUAAGCCAAUAAUAAAAUAUUAAGUCUACUGUUGUCCAUAUAUAUUCUUCGUAGGGCAAUCCCAGAAGUACUAAACAAUAAUAUGGGGUGGAUUUAAUUAUUGCCUUUAAUAUUAUUGACCAAAAAAAAUUAUUGCCUUUAAUAUUAAGCAAAAGUCGUAGACCGGUACCCGUUUGUUACAAUCACGUAUUAUUGCCAGAAGUGUGCUCAUUCUGAUUCUUUCAUACAUUCAAUUUGUAUUGUCUAACAAAAUUCGUUUAGUUAAUAUGAUAAACAGUUUAAAUAAAUAGAUACAAAGAUCAUAUAUCUAUCAAUACAUGUAUUAACGAUUAAUGUGAUACAAGAAAAUUAUGUUCAAUCACUUAAAUUAGAACUAUAUGAAUGCAUAUAUUUGUCAUACUUGCAUAUAAGUCUAAUAGUAUUUGAACAUAAUUUGCUUCAUCACUUAUUGACUAGAUGAAUAAAUACCACGCUCUAUAUAUGUCAUCAAUAUAUAUCAUGACCUGUGACAGAGCUCCGAGGAAAACAAGGUGAGUUCUUCCACUCACCAGAAUGUGAACUAAGAAUUUCCCUUGCUUUUUCUUUCAAAUAUGGAGCACAGUCGACUUGGAUCAACAUUAUAAGCUUCUUCACAGCUCCAAACUCCAACAUUUCCUGAAGCACCAUCUUAUUUCCAGAGUACUUGCUUAUCAAGUAAAGGAUCAGAACAGCUCGAUCGUCGGCCGCCUGCGAACCCUUCAAGAUCCUAUCGGACACUACUAAUAUGCUUGCUUUAUGACCAAGAAACUGAGCUCUCCCUUCCGCACAAGAACACAAAUGGAAUAGUAUCCCCAAAACGAGCUCAGUAGUUUUCUUUUCGUGAACUGCACCACCUAAUUCGAGCUCAACGAGCUCAUAAACUGCGCCGGAUUCAACCAAUUUGAUUCGAUUGCUUCCGCAGCGGCAAGUGUCUAGCAUCACUUGUAGAGCCGCAUUAAUGCCUUGUUGCGUGACGGCACCAUUUCUCAAAACCCCUAAAAUGUUCCUGAAAAAUUCAGGGUUGAGAGUUUCUAGCACGCUUGAACUCACCUUCUGAAUCAUGGACUUGAGCACCAACAUGACGUGCGUGUUCACCGCGAUUUGGUUCUCCAUCUCGCGGCUCAAAACCCACGUCAACGAGUCCAUAAUGUGAUUGUUCUCUAACAAAAGAUGAUUUAAUUCAUCGGGUGGAAUCCGAACAAAGUGAAGCACGCUGAGAGCUUCUUCCAGACCAUCAACCCUACCAUUUUUAUAACAUGUUACGAUGAAUAACAGCAUUGUUUUUGCCACACCGGCUUCCGCCAUGUAUUUUAGGUUACCUUCGUUUUCGGUAGCAAGCAGCUCCAGUUUUCGAACGAUUUUCAGCUGGAACUGCGGGUCUGGAAAGUCCUUGAGCAGCUUCACGACUUGAGCUUUGCUGAGAGGUGGUUUCGGAGUCGGAAUUCGAUUCACGCCUUUAGAGGCAUUGUCUGUGCACCACGCCUGGAUCAAACGGCGUAACGUGUGAUUAGGAGUUAACUCGGAGUCUUUGGGAAGACGCUGUUUGGUUACAGGGCAGGUGGUGUUCUUGGCGUGGAAUAGCCAGUGCUCGAUGCUGUCUCGGUCGUAUGUGAUGCCUGUAAUGGCUGUUACAGGGUCUGUCAUGAUCUGAAGGGAAAUAGGGCAUACGAAAUACUGAGGAACAUCAAUAUCUUCAGCCAUGAAUGUGCAGAUCAGAAGGAAGUUGAGAGAGUGAAGGAGGAAGAAGUACCCUUUGGGUGGUUGAGGUGGUAAGUCAGGUAAGAGGAUGCGGCUGAUAUAAUGACCAAAGAGAGUGGACUGGUCAUGAUAUAAUUGGUGAUGGUAAUACUAAUCUAUUCAAAGGCAGGUUGGGCGGUCAAACGAGAAAAGUUGUGGGCAAUGAUCAAAGUAAUGAAAUGAACACGGAAUGAGUAGCAUAGAGCAGAAUUUGGAUUUGGGACCCUUUUGAAGCCCUUUUUAAAUCUGAGUCAAAUGUAUACAUGAGCAUCUCGGUAAUGUUAACCAGAAACCAAACAGUACUCAUCUGAUCGACAUCAUUUUUCUUCUUUUAAAUUCAUUUGGUAUCUCUUCGUAAAUUUAAUUGCAAAGCUUAUUUCUCCAUUUGUAAGAUUCAAAUUUACUUCUCAUGUAAGAAUAAAAAUCAAAUCAUAAAUUUUACAAAAUUUGACCAGCUCGAUAUUGAUUGACCGCCUUUAUUGAGUUGUUGAGUAAUGUCUUUAUAUCAAGUUCACUUCUACUUUUCUACUAUAUUUUUAUUUUUUAGCUAAAUAAACAGCGAGAGACAAGUAGUAAAUCUUAAAAGUGAUGCUCUAAAAUUAUAUUUGAUGGAAUGGUAUUACUUUGACACUAAAUAAGUACAUAAGCUACAUAACAAAUCAAUCAAAACCAAAAACAAACAAAAAAAGACGAGAUGUCCGAUUUUCAUGGAGCGUCUUAGGGUUUCCAACCAAAAAUUUUCUAGCGGCAGCGAAGAGCAAUGUGCUUCCCUGACCAUCCAGUGGUGGGCUAUCGACAACGGCGACUCAGAGAGGAAAGUUCUUCUCAAACUGUGGUGGCCAUGGAAUCCUAACUGUUCUAAGCUCUCGACCGCAGUUGUUCUUUGCGGUUGAGAAGGUUUUAAAUGGAAGAAGAUUGAUGUCUGGGACAUCAGAGGAACCAACCGAAGCUGGUGCUUUUGAGUCGAUGGUUCUUGUCACACCCUGGACCCGGUGUCGGUGGUUUCCAAGCACCUGACGCCGAACUCGAGGCGUGAGCGGGAAAAGUAAAAAAAAUAAAACAAUUUCAAAUACUUUUCUAAAAAUUGUUAAAAACAAAAUAAAUUGUAUAACAAAAACAAUUAUAAAGACAAAACAGGCAAGCCUUGCGAUCUAUCUCAUUUCUAAUCUUUUGUAAACCUGGUUGACUCUCGUACAUGUCAACUAAACGACACAGUUAAACUUCUCGUAAGACAUGUCCAUCUAGGCACCUGAACAAGAUUCUAUAGGGGUGAGCUUACACUCAGUAAGGUCAAACCUUUUCAAGUUAUACUUAACUACAUGACACAAUCAAAUUAUCAAAUAUCAAACAAUACUUUAUAAAAAUACCAAUCCAAUGCAUGUAUGAUAAUGAAUGUCUUUCUCAAUUACUGGCUAUCAGUGCAUACAACAAAAACAUGUGAGUCUACACGUCUCAUACCGUGUAUUUUACCAACUGGGGGUGACUCAGAUGUCUCGAAUAUAUGAUCUAACAAUCAAUAAUAUCUCACCACCUGCACCUCUUUUGUUAGUCAUCUUGUUAUACUCAUGGUCUCCCGAUCCGCAACCUGCUAAGAUUGUUUUAUCGAUGUCCGCCAUCGAAAGGGCAUACUUUCUCUGUAUUUGUGCACGUGUGGGCUAAUCAUAGAUCUCGAGGACAACCCAUGAGGAAACUCAACUACACAAAAUGUCUCUAUUCUAUCAAUCUCAUUCUCAUCUCCACAAUCACCAUUCUCACUAAUCUCACAAUUUCUCACAAUGCAUUAUGUAUGCAAUCAAAUAUCGAUGCGCAUAAUAUAACAUUCAACACAUGCUUUUUAUAGCAAGCAGUAACAUCGAUCAUAUAAAUCACAGAAUACACAUGCUUUUAUCGUAAACGAUAACAAUCAAUUAGACAACUCCUCCACCACUGUCGUUAUGAACAGCAGCCACCACAACACUGCCCCAAUCCAAAUUCUUCUAAACUCAAUUUUAAUUACAUAGAGAGGUAGAGCUUGAAGAGAAGAUCAAGUUUCAUACCUCACUUGCCUUUGCCGGUGACCGUAACACACAGAACUUGGCCAGAAAACCCAGAAAUCCUUCCCCUCUUCGAUUAUCUCUUACAGAAAUUCAUAUAAAGAAUCUAAGGCCACAGGGAGAACGUAGAGACUGAGACAAAUCUACCAUUACCAUUCAUGCUUGCCGCCGUGGUUAGGAUCGAAAACCCGAUCGGAAAUAAAUCGUCUUCUCUCCUGCUUUUCUCUCUCACCGGAGCUCCACUCUUCAAAUUGCUAUCACAAGAAGGUCGGGGACGACGAGAUGAAGCCGUGGCCAUGAGUAGGGCGCCAGAAGUGACCGGAUGGCGGAGGGAGGUCCGAGCUCCGUCAUCGCUGCAGAACAGCUCGAGACCGAGGGCGGUCUGAGUUGUGUUUUUCUGUUCACUUCUACCACCUUAUCCAUUCCCAAAUAUAAUCUCAAAUAGACAGCCCAGAUCUUGUGGUUUAAAACAAUCCAACAACCCAAAUCAAGCCACCACAAAUUUCUAUUUUUAAUUUAAUUUUUGGAUAAUACCAACUUCCAAAAAUCAUUAAAAAUAGUUUCGAUGUCCAAACGAUGCUCCGUAAAAACCUACGAACUCGUAACGACGUCUAGAUUAAUCCUAUGGCUCGAAAGAUAAAAUUUGACAAACCAAAAAUUUGAAUAAUUUUCAAAAGCCACAAAGAGAAUAAAGAAUAAUAGAAAUAGAAAUAAAAAAAAUAGCUCGAAAAUAAUUUUCCUUUUAAAAAUAGAAAACCGAAAUUCUGGGAUAUUACAGUUCUUAUUCCAACAACAACAGGAUUCGAUGGCUGACCUCGAGAGAGGAUGGCGGUUUUGACGAUCCCACCGGACGGUGCUCAAUCUAAAAUGGUUGAUGCGCUUGAUGGUAGAGGACGAAAGGUUGCAGAGGUGGUGGUUAACCUGCUAACGACGACGAUCAAUGUGCCGAUAGAAGAAAUUUGGCAACCGCCAGACAUGGUUGCUAACAGAUUUGGCAGCUGCUGGACGUGGCUGCUAGCUGAGCUCUCCCAAAUGGGUUUUGGGCCUGAGUUUGAGCCCCAAUCCGUGAAUUUUGGGCUUCUUGGACAAGUUUCAUUCCCUUGGGAUAGGGUUGGGUCUUCUGAGCCCACCUUUUGGCUCAGUGGGGAAUAGACAGUUCAAGAAGUCUGAGCUUAAAUGGUAAGUGUUAGUGCAUGGAUAGCUUGACAGAUUGUGCGAGCUAGAUGCAACGAGAUGGUUUCAUAUGACUUGGAAUACCGCAAUUGAGCGCCUUGCCUCUGGUUUUAUGUCUCUCUAGUAUCUUGUAUGUAACUAGUUUUAUCCUUCGCUAAGCUUACAAAUAAAUGAGCUAAAUGUCUAAUGUAAUGACACUAUUGUGCCCUAUAUUGUCGUUGUACUCAUGUCAUUCUGGAUUUUGUUUCUAUAAAUGAUAUAUUAUUUUCAAAAAAAAUUAAUUUAUAUUGGAUGGCGUCUAAGUUUCGGCAUUGCCACUGAGACAAUCGGUUAGAAACUAAUACGUCAUAAAUUUUAUUGCAUUACAAUUACAAAAAACCUACUUCUUACAGAUAGUGACUUGAACAAAAAUUUAAAAUAUAAUAUAGAAAAAGCCUUAUUAGAAUAUUGCCUUACGAUUUUCUGGUUUCGAUUUGUAUUCCCUUAAGAGUCGAACAUAUAAAAAUAAUGGAAGAUUUAGAUUGAUUGAUUGCAUUCAAAAUGAACUCACUCAACAUGCUUAAAAAAUAUACCGCAGCCAAACUCUCUUUUUAAGGUUAGGGUUUUCUUUGGUUGUGUGGCGUCCUACUCCCAUGAUAGUUUCUAUAUCUGCCUCCACUGCUUCCAUGACAGCAAGGCUGAUCUCCAUAUUCUCUCUGAACCACCAAGAUGAACCAGUUGAUCUUGGAAACCUUUGUUGCCCAAAAACGGCUUCAUCGUGUCGUGAUUCUAUCUUGUCGACAAACUUAACACUGCUAGGGCAGUGAAUUUUGACUCCUUCAGGAGCGCAGUGAGAUCCAUGUGGCGCCUUUCAACUCCGGUGGAGGUCCAGGCAUGAGGAGAUCGGUUCCUUUUCACUUUCACCAACGAAAGGGACGUUGCUCGUGUCAAGAGAAGAGGUCCAUGGGGUUAUCAAAGAGCUAUGAUUUUACUGAAUGAUUAUAUGGUUUCUCUGACAUAAUGGUUGUGCCUCUUGAUUUUGUGUGAAUUUGGGUUGAAAUACAUGAUUUAUCGGCAGUGCUCACGACGGCGGCAACUGCACACGCUUGGUAGGUGAGACUAUCGGCCCGGUGCUUCAAGUUGACCAGUGUGGAAUCAAUAAUAGUCUUGCUAGGGUGCUCCUCACCCAUCCCUCUCAAUGAUCCAAUGCGACUUGAAAGAAGAAUUAAUUAGGGUUUCCCCUGAGGACGUGAUCACGGUGAAGUUUCGAUACGAUCGUUUACUGGGGAGAUGCAGAGACUGUGCCAUGAUAAAUCGUGGUGGUCUCCCAUGUCCAAAACUACAGGAGUUUCCCUCACUAGUGGCACCCUGGGUGGUGUCUCAACCUACUGUUCCUCAUUUGAUGGUGUUCCGUGGCAACAGACCCAUCUCUCUCUCAGUUCCCCAUGUAGUUGUGCCUCCUAUACCAAAAGACAAGAGAACAAUGUCCAUCAGACAAGUCCAUGCCUUCCCUUCUCCCACAAAAAUCAUUGGAGUUAGGGAAUAGAGGAUGACGAUGAGGUUGACGACAAGAGUGCAUGACACUAUCUGGCCAUGGUGCCUCUUCCCCUAAACCCUAAUGAGUUAGGGUUCUCAGUUGCUGCUGAUGGCAAUCUUAACAUUGUGAAAACCGGAAAAUCUCUAAAGAAAAGGGGCCGCCCCCGUGGUAGCAGAAACAAGAAGAAGAGUUUAAUAGAGAUCUUCGAUUCCAUGGCACCAGGAACAGUGGUGGAAGAGAAAAAGGAUGCGUCCGAGACUGAGGAAGGCUUAUUUCCUAGUCCAACUAGGAAAGAACCCUUCCAAACCCUAGCUUAGUCUGUCCCUCUGCUUCACAAUGAAAUGUACAUCAAUGGGUCUUAGGUUUGUUGAGAGAGUUACUAUGCUUUGAGUGAGGAAGGUUAUCUAGGUUUAUUUUGCUUUCUAGUAUAUCAUGUCCAAUAUUUUGGACAUAGUUUUGAGGAUUGCAUUUCAAUUUGUAGUUUUAUAUUAAGUACUUUGCUUUGUGUGUGAGUAAUCUUCGGAUUAUUUAGGCAUUGAUCGUUCUACCAUCAUUGAUUAUUGGCUAUAUGCCUAAUGGAGUGAUUCCAACUUUCUUAACAAAAAAGAAAAAGAAAAAAGAACUCACUCAAAUAUCAAAAAAUAUGUAUUAAAUAUCAAAAUCAUAUUAGAUGCGAGUCCAAAAUGCAAGUAUGGAUCGAUGUUGUGACUACAAGACAAUAUGUCUUAAGCAUUUGUAGUUCAUUUCUUUUCAUUUGUUUAGGCUCUUUUAUUGUAUUUGUGCUCUUGUUCUCAAGAUUUGCGGUUUUUGGUUUCGUCCCCCUCAUUGCUUUUAUAUGGCUUGGUUCUUUGUAUCUUUACUUUGUGGGAAUGAUCUUGGCUAAGUCCUCCACCCCUUAUACAUUUUCUUUUAUCAAUUAAAUUUCGACUACGAGAGAAGAUUAUCCCUUAGCUCGCUCAUGCGGCAAUUUGAUGAUUGAGAGUCCUGCUCAAUUGGUAAACAACUUGAAUAAUUUUUUUUUUUUGAAAAGAGGCGUCAGUCUAUUAGAACAAUAAAAGUUACAUGUAUAAAAAUAGCUCACCCAAAGAGGGUGAUACCAAGAAAAUCACUGCGGUGAGAGACUAAAAUAGAGACUGCUGUGGGGAGCACGUCUCUAGGAUAGAUAGGCUCACCACUCCGAGGAAUCCACUAAGGAGAUAAGAGCAUGCUCGCCACUUCAAGGAAUCCACUAAGAAGAUAAGAGCAAAACUCGCCACUCUAGGAAUCCACCUAAGAGAUAAGAGUUUGAAUAACAAAUGGGAAGAACUCCUUCACCAAAUUGUUUAAACUUCUAAUAAAACUCAAGACUAAAAUCUGAUUACAAACGAAAAGAAAACUUCCUUUUAUAACUUAAGGAAGAGAUGCGAAAAGACUACUUAUUUAAAUCUUGAAUAAUAAAGAUAAUAAUUAAAGAUCUCAUAACUCCAAGGCCAGAAGCUCAAAGAUCAAUAGUGAUUGUUCAUUGGAACUCAUCAGCUUCUUCAAUUAAUGUGGCGAAUCCUCUGUUGCAUCUAGGUUCAUGGUUCUUUGUAUCAGAGGGCUACGAUAAAAUUGAGUUAUUCGAAGGUAGGUAAUUAACUAUAUCAAAUUAAUAGACAAACCAAAUAUGUCAAACAUGAAUUGUUCAAGUUUUCAUAGUCUGUCAAUAUGGCUGAAAAUUUGCAUAAAUGAUCUACUCAUAAAUACCUAUAAACUAAACGGUGAAGAUGUGGAUCUAAGAUUGAAAUAUGGGUGAAACAAAAGUCCUCAACUAAUCCUUAUUAUAAAGGUCCUUAUUAGAAAUGCUCCCAUCAAACAACUGCCCUUUAGGAUGUUGGAUCGAAUUUUGGAAUGCAUGGUCAAACUUACCGAUCAGAUUCUGAAUCCAGAGUAAAUUAGAAGAAGAAAACAUUUGCUUUUCAUUUAGCCAAGUCUAAAAACAGAAAAGAGCGACUGAGAGUCAAUUAACUUCAAGGUAACGUUUUUUUGGACAAAAUUUCAAGGUAGCUUAGACCAGUGUGUAUGUUUCGAGUACAUGGUUGCCAAACAACUACUUCAUCUGAAAACGUGUAAUCUCUUGGGAUACAGUCCUACAACUCCAAUUUUCCAACAGAAAUGUGAAAGGGAUCCAUUUUCUAUAUCUGAUGACCUUAAAAAAAAAAACAGGGUACGUACAAAUAUAUAUUGUUCCUAAAUCAUCAAUAUUAUUGGAUUUGAGGACGUAGCUGUUUUGGAUAACGUUAUGUCAUGUAGUGUUAUUGCAUGCAGAACAUACGAAACUUCCCAGAGACAAAAUUAUUGAACUUCCAUUUUUGAGUCAAAAGGACGAGUCAAUUUGAGGACCUGCAAUAAAUUGGUAUGAACGAACAGAUAUAUCAGAUGCAUGUGAAUACAUACAAGUUAGCUAGUACUACUGAAACUGGAAGUUUCUUUCUUUACAUAUUGAGGAGAACGUUUUCUGGUCUUGGACUACAUAGUACAUACAAGUUAAAUAUAUACACCUGUGAAGAUCAUGUUCUUUGCGAAAUUGCGGCAUAUAUAAAUUUUGACUAGCAGGCUUCAAUUUGCUAUUAAAGGCAGUAAAUCUCAUCAACUUUAGAAACUCUUGUCUUCAAGACAAAAACUAUAUAUUAAAAAAAAAUUGGUAGAAUAAGCUUCGACCUUGUCAACUGAUCGAUAUUGUAUGUUGUUCAUGAGAUGUUAAUUAGUAGUGUUCAUGAGCAAGGUUUUUAAUUAGAUGAGUAGCCUAACUUGUUGAUUGUUUAAUAGUAAAAGAGAUUGAAAUAAGGUUUGGAAUUUGGUCUCUUACGUCCAUAUUAUUAUUUGAUCAAAGAAGAAACAAAUUGUGAGUUUCCACGACUCAAAGAUCAGAAGUUACAUGCAAGCAUAAAAAUCUCGGCAUCGAACUAUCGAUCGCAUAUAUUAAUAGUGAGCCACACAAUAAAUCUUUAUACAUUUAGACUAUAAUUAAGAAUCCGUAUACAAUAACGUAUGAGACACACAAGCACAACCUUUAUAUAUCCAUGCAGAACUUACAUAAGUAUUAAUUAGGGACAAUGUCUAUUAGCCUUAAUUUUAAGAAUUUUAUUCCCACCAACAAAAUCAGAUUUUAAAAUUCCUAAGAGCCAACUUAAACAGCAGAAAGACAAUUAUACCCUUAAUGAAUUAAAUAAACUACAAUAAACCAUUAUAAAAGUCUAUUAACAAAAAAAAUUCUAUAAUGGGAUUCCCACGGCCGAUGACGUUGUCCGGGUUCCGGCGACUAUUGACCGGACUCCGGCGACCGUUAACCAGACUCCGGCGACCGUUGACCGGACUCCGACAAUCGUUGACGGAACUCCGACGAAAGAUAAGGGAUCUAUUGAGGGCAGUAGGAGUCUAUUGGGAGCAGUAAGGGGUCUGUCAGGGGAUAUAUUGGGGGUAGUAGGGGGUCUUUUGGAGGCAAUAUGCAUAGGGUCUGUCCGGGGGUCUACUGGGGGCAAUAGGAGGGUCUACUAAUGAGGAUCUACUGGGGGCAGUAGGAGAGUCUACUGGGGGUAGUGGGAGGGUCUAUUGAGAGCCUACUGGGGCAGUAGGAGGGUCUACUGGGGGCAGUAAAAGGGUCUACUGAAGGCAGUAGGAGGGUUUACUAGGAACAAUAGGAGGGUCUACUGAGGGCCUACUGGGGGCAGUACGUAGGAGGUUUACUGAGGGACUACACCCAACUAAGAUUCUCUACCUACUUGAUUAAAAGAAAAUAUGAAAAAAAAAAUCACUGCAUAUUCAAACUGCAUAUGAAACAGAAUCAAUACUUACACAUUUUUUUUUGGACAAUCAAUACUUACACAUUAAUGAAUUACUCUCCCACCAUUUUUCACAUGCAUCCAGCACCAUAUCAAUGACAGUCACUGUGCUCAUUGGUCAUCAAAUAGAAUAAUCACCACCCACCCACAAUUCCCUCAUAGACUGCAUUCCCAAAUACUGAAAUUCAUGACCAAAACAAUCCAUUUUAGUAAUUCUGGACCAGAAACACAACACAAGCUACUGUGAUCCCCGCAAUGGCUCCUUUAAUUUAGACAACGAUUUCAAAAAAGCCUCAAGCUCGAAUACGGGCAAAUUGGUCACAUUGAUCUCUUGAGCAACUAAAUCUCCAAGCCAAAAUCCACGUUUUCGAAGCCAAUCUCUAAGCAACUAAAUCUCCAAGCCAAAAUCCGCGGAACACAUUGGCGGUGACGACGUACAAUCAGACGAUCUGAGACGAAGAGAGAGAUUAGAGGAGAGAGGAGAGGUGGAAGGAGACGAUGAGAAGGCAAGGGCAUACCUUAUCCCAAGAGGAGAGUGGUUGGAGAAGUGGAGGACUAGGACGGAUCCGGCGUCGUAUUGGCCAAAUAUCGAGCCAGCCUCGUCAACGAGAUCUCCCUGCCGUCGUUGUCCAGGCAUCGUCGCCUCUUCGGCGUUGUCCUGGCAUCGUCGUCGGCAUCGAGGAUAAGACGAGAGAGAGAGAGAGGAUCAUAAAGAGAAAGAAAGAAGAUCUGAAACAAUGGAUAGGAAAAAGAGGUGGAGACAUAAGAAAUAGGGGUAAUUUGGUGAAGGAAAAACACACAAAGUUAAAAAUUUUGUUAGUAGGAAUAAAUUAGUUUAUUGGGUUGAUAGGCAUUUUAGAAUCUUAUUUUGUUAGUGGAAAAAAUUUCUCUAAAUUUAGGGUUAGUAGGAAUUUUCCCUAUUAAUUAACUAAACCGUUCGUUGUUUGUUAUUAAUUAGUAUACCAAAUUUUUUUUUGUUUUUGUUUGUUCUAGUUUUCCUAGGUCAUUGGCAUCGGAAUCUAAGGUAGAGAAGGAUUAAGGCUCUCACAUUAGUUGUUCAACUAAAACUAACGUCGAGAAGGAUGAAGGCUUUCAUUAGUUGUUCUACCAUUUAGUUGACUUCUCUGUAUAAUUCUUGGCCCAAUAUUUCGGCCGGUCGUGGAAUCUUGUCAUGUUGAAUGUUUAGCGAUUCUAAGUCGUGAUAUUUUGUUUGUAUUUGUGAAGUGUGAUUUGUGAGCCUUAAUUCUCAUUUAAACAACGUACGUGAUACCCACCUAGCUAAUUAAGCUCUAAGGUGUGAGAUUGAAUCUCAUAGUCAUGCUUUAAGGUAUCAGAAAGCUAUUCAUUGCAUAAAUAGAUUCAUCCAUUGAAUUGUCUAAUGAGAGGACGACCUAUUGCUUCAUGGCCUUCUUGGAAGCCUCUCGGUUCGGGUUUAGGUUUCGGAUCCAGGCGACGAGCCUGCUCAAGUCGACGCUCGUGGCAUAGAGUAUGAGCUCUUGCAAGAAGUUAUUCUCAUUGAAAUGAAAAUCGAAGGGUAUAAUUAUCACUGACCUUGUGGAAUUGAUAACAACAAAACCUAAUUGAUGGAUCAUGGAUUUAGGAAGAGGAGUAUUGACGCCAUAGAGAUGAAGAUGAAGAAGGACUAGAAACGUCAUUCGAUGCCAUAAUCAAAUAAUUUGAUUUUAAUUAGAUUAAGUAAGAGCAUAUGUUUCAGAUUACUAUGGAUAAGGAGGAUCAAAUGUCAUGCUGACAUGGUCCUACGGGAGUGUAGAAAAAUUUCUCCUAAUAUGUACCAAUCUCAUACGAAUUUUAGAUCAGUCCCUCUCCCUCCUCCCUUCAGUAAUUCCUAAAUCUUUAACGAUGUUUCGGGAAACAUAUGACCAACAAAAGAACAAUUAAAAUGAAAUAUAUAUAUUUGGGUACGUUAAGCAACCAUUAACCAUGCUAAUCAUCAAAAGAACUAGAUCACGAAACAACCAUAUAUAUGUAUUCACUAUAAGUAUUCAUCACCCUUAUUCAUAUUGCAAAUGAACUAAUUAAACUAUUUUCCUCACUACUUACACACUAUCUUUAAGAAGUUAUGUUGAUUUAUAUUCAUUGUUUUUAUCAAAACACAAAACCCCCGGGGGAUGCGCUAGGGUUUCCAUAAAACAUCUUUAGCUUAUGUAUGAUUGUGCGUUCAUGGACGAUGUCGUCAGAUGGGAUAUGUUUCUGAGUGCAUGUGCUUAGGGAUGACAAUGGGUAUGGUAAAGUCAGGGGAUCAAAAUACCAUACCCGUACCCUUUUUCAUUCCUCAUCCCCGUACCCGUCCCGUUCCCCGUAAUUAGAUAAUGGGGAUUCCCCGUACCUGUCUCCUUUGGGGAUUACGUUCCCAUACCCGCUCUGAUCCCCGUUAACAAUUAUGUAAUAAUUAAUUUUAUUAAAAAUUAAUUACGACAUAUAGAAAUAUGAAAAUAAAAUCAAAUAUAUAUAUAUAAAUAAGUUUCUUAAUUCAAUCCAAUAAAAACGAAUACAAGUUUCGGUUAAAAAAGAAGUUUCUAUAAAUAUUCAUUAAAAAAAUCAUAGUAAAAAUUUUACAAAAGAUUUUACAUAAAUAUCUAUUUAAUAUCUAUUUAUAAAUAAUAUAUAUAUAUUAAAAAUAAUAUUUACAUCCUAAAUGGGUGGGGAUGGGGACGAAUAUCAAAAUAUCAUACCUGCCCCGUACCCGAUUCAAAAAUCCGAAUACUGAAGAUCUCCAUACCCGUCACCCAUUUAUCACCGUAUAUCUCCCCCGUUAGGAUCGAAUACCCGUGAGUACCCUACCCGCUGGGGAUUAUUGUCAUCCCUACAUGUGCUUCCCACGAUCAGAGUGCAUGUCACUAGUGGAAAUAUCGACUUAGCCGACGGAAACAAUUCGUCGCCUAAGACCGCAUAUCAGUCGAUUACAAUCUUGCCCGACGAAUUAUCCGUCGUCUAAGUUCCGUCGCCUAGGUGUCGUGAGGUAGACACUUAGGCGACGGAAAAUAAGUUAGUCUUCGACUAAGACCGAUCCAACCCGACGGACACUUACAUGCCUUGUCGACAAACGGAAUCGUUGAGAAAACGCCCUAUCGACGGAAAGUUUUUGUCGGACAUGUUCUUAGCCGACGAAUACCAAAUCCCUCUUAGCCGACGGAACUGUCUUCGGUAUGUAUGUUUACUGACGAAUAUAUGAUUGUUCUUAAGCGACGGAAAAUUCGUCGUUAUAGCUUUUGCCCGACGAAUGUGUAUCUGUUCUUAGUCGACGAUUCAUCUUUGUAUUCGUCGGACAGGUUGUUUAGCACUAAAAAAUUCCCAUGUUAAGCACUAAAAAACAAAAUUAAAAAAAUUAACACACCAAAUUAUUAUCACAAAACACAUCUUUCAAUUCAUAUCAGCACACAAUACUUUACACAUAUUCGAUCAUACUUUACACAUAUCCAUAACAUUUUCACUUUAUAAGAAAACGCCUUAUGCAAACAUAUCCUUAGACAUGAAAUUUUAUCAACAAAGAGAUGUCAAUUCGGUCAGUUCAUGCCUUCCAAUUACAUAAGCAAUCAUAUAUAUGUUAUCAAACAAAUGUAAUUAAGUAAAUUUACUUUUCAUAUACUAUUCAGUUACUUACCGACAUUGCAUUCCACACCUUCCACUUCUCAGUCUGAUCAAGGUCGUAGAACAUGCUUGCCCUCAUUCCCACCAGAUUCCGUAUGGCGCAACCAAUAUCAUGUGCCACCAAGCUGUUUAUCCCCCUGACGCUAGGGCCUUUUACACGGGGGCAAUACUCCAGCUUGAUCUUCUGCCCCGUUUGUUGAACGAUAUCCUCCGCCUUCUUUCCAGAAAAAAACCCCGCCUCUUUUUCGGGGCCAGAGCUACAAUUAACAUGUGAAAAUACAUUAUGAUACUUAAUAUACAAGAGGAUAUCUGUUGUGUGUAAGUGGCAUGAAAAUGAAAGAGACAUAUUGUACUGCAAGUUUACUGACCCCCAUUAUAAAUUUACGAACCCCCAGAAGAAGUUUACUGACCCCCAGAAGAAGGUUACUGACCCCCAGUAGACGUUUAUUGACCCCCAGUAGAAGUGUACUGACCCCCAGUGAAAAUACAUUAUGAUACUUAAUAUACAAGAGGAUAUCUUUUGUGUGUAAGUGGCAUGAAAAUGAAUAGUACUGCAAGUUUACUGACCCCCAUUAUAAGUUUACUGACCCCCAGUAGAAGUUUACUAGGGGGCAGUAAAUUAAUACACUUACUUGUUUGGCUUCUAACUUUGAUUCGAGCGCUGCCGAGAAUGCGUCUUGCAAGUUCGGGUACGGUUGCAGUCUCGGGUGCGGUUGCAUUCUCGGUUGCGGUUACAGAUGCCGAUUGAGAUCCCGUUGAACAACUGUCAACUAUAGGGCGUCGCACGAUCAAGGGGGGACCCUCUGGUGGUACUGUCUUAGCCGGCAUCGGGUUAGGAUGGCUGCUACUGCUAGCUGAGCCGACGGUCUGCCGUAUUGACUCCAUCAAAACAUUGGCCUUAGUGGCUCGGCCCUUCCUCUUCCCCAUGAUCACCAUAUCUUGCACAUGAAUAACACACAAUUGUUAGUAAAUGAGUGAGUAAUAGAUAAAGAUUAUGAAAAUUGUNNNNNNNNNNNNNNNNNNNNUUACGAUUCAGAAGUAACAAGCAAGAUCAAUCUGAGAAGAGAGAGAAUACAAACCUGCAAAAGGAGCGGCGAUGAGAAGGUGAGAGCAGAGAGGUCGUAGCGGCGGUGAGAAGGUGAGAGCAGAGAGAUCAGAGUGGCGGGUGGAUGCGGUGGCGAUGAGUGGAGGAGGUGGGUGGAUGCGCGCACUUUAAUCGGUGGCCGAUGCGUGGAUGGGGUCUAGUGGCGCGACUCUGGUGGGAUUUAGGAAUUGUGGUUGUGAAUUUAAUUAGGGAUUGUGGAUUGCGCGAGGGAGUUAGUAUAAGUUUUAAAUUAGGUUUCGUCGCCUAAGACAUUUAUUCGUGUCCUAAGUAAUACGAAAUUUCGGGGAAAAAAAAAGGCGUAAAAUUCACCCGCCUAAUAUUUUGGGAUCCUAGACGACGGAAAAUGUAUUUUCCGUCGCAUUGGUAUACCAAGCCAACGACAUAUACAAUUUCCGUCGCCUAAGUAACAUAAAAUUUUUGAAACGUGACUAAUAUUUUGUGUAUCCUAAGCGACGGAAAGGCCACUUUCCGUCGCCUUAGGAAUAUUAGGCAACGAAUUAUUCAAAUUCUUUCUCCUUAUGGGUAGUCCUAUCUUGGGUGGUUAUUUUCCGUAAAAUUUUUAUACGACUCAUUGCGUCUCAUCGAUUUGAAACUAUUUUCAGUUAAAGGUCCGGCCAAAAUACGUAAUUUAGAAGGUCCAAUGACCGUUUCCGUGCAUUUAGGGUUUGACUUACAGGAUUGACCGUCCGGAUCGAGCCCUUAACCUUGUGGGAUCAAGUUGAAUUUUUUCCCAUACAUGUAUUUUAUCAUGAUGGUCAGAUCUGACGGUCGGAUUUUCUUUUCUCAAGUUGAUCAUCACAAUCACAACAGGCCUACUAAUGUUGUAUAACUUGUUUAUCAAGUAAAUGUUCUGUUUCAAAAACAAACUAUACGUAGAACCUUCAAACGCAAAAAAGUCAUGAAAUAAGAUAUGACCAGAAUGAUGAAAUACUUCUACGAUUCAAAAAUCACGAUAUGCCGGUAAAGUCUCGGUGCCGAUAGUUGCGGUCAAUGCUAUUUUCCAUUCUUUCUCCUUAUGGGUAGCCCUAUCUUCGGUGCUUAUUUUCCGUAAAAUUUUUAUACGAAUCGUUGCGUCUCAUCGAUUUGAAACUAUUUUCAGUUGAAGGUCCGGCCAAAAUACGUAAUUUAGAAGGUCCAGUGACCGUUUCCGUACGUUUAGGGGUUUGACUUACGAGAUUGACCGUCCGGAUCGAGCACUUAACCUUGUGGGAUCAAGUUGAGUUUUUUCCCAUACAUGUAUUUUAUCAUAAUGGUCAUAUCUGACGGUCGGAUUUUCUUUUCUCAAGUUUACUGACCCCCAGAAGAAGUUUACUGACCCUCAGUAGAAGUUUACUGACCCCCAGAAGAAGUUUACUGACCCCCAGUAGAAGUUUACUUGGGGGCAGUAAAUUAAUACACUUACCUGUUUGCCUUCUAACUUUGAUUCAAGCGCUGCUUUCUAACCUUCUAACUUCUAACUUUAAUUUCGGAAAAUUUCAAGCUUCCUUUUAAAUGUUUAGCUCUCUCUUUAACUUACUCCCCUCUUCCUCAAACAUCUUAUCUUCUUCUUUCUCUCACCAAGAACUUCACCCAAUAACUUUUUCUUUCUCUUCCCCACCGAAACAAACCCACUCCGAUCCCUCUCUCUUUCCUCUCCCUCUUCUCCUCCUCCCCCUCUCCUCCCUCUUCCAACUCCUUAGAUCGAUCUAGUUCCUCCACUUCCCGACUCACCACCUCCUCCUUUCCCCCAUUUCCGCCUCUCUCGAUUGAUCUGGGUCCAUAUCUUCUUCUAUUUGCUCAUUCGAGUUGCCAGAAAGCUAUAGAAUUUGUGGAUCUUUUUAGGACUGGUUCUAAGGAUUUUUAUGUUCAGAUCUGGAGUUGUUUGUUGAUGAAUUUGUUGUUGUUGUUGGUGGUGGUGGUGUUGUAUUCGUUGUUGUUGGUGUUUGUGGUACUUGCAGUGGGUGUUGGUAAUGGUUAGUCGACGACAACGAUGGUGGAGGUUUGGGUUGAAUUAAAUUCCGAUUUGGGUCGGGUCAUAUCUGGGAUUUUGGUGGCGGUAAUCGGUGUUAUUUUGUUGGUGAUCGAUGGUAUGUGGGGUGAGCUUUGGUUUUGGUGGUGGCGACGUGCGGUGGUUGGGUCAGUAUUGAAUCAUUUGCACUUGAACAACACGACUGGCAUACGGUUGUCGUAGAUUAGUUCGAUGACACUGACAAGAACCCCGUAGUAGUUGAAACCCAGACCCUCAACCAUGACUCUAUUGUUUUGGGUGACAUGGCCUUCAUCUCGUUCUGACGUCACAAACUUAACACCGUUCACAAAACAUCCAGCACAAACUCUGUGGAUUUGGGGUCCUCCAACCAAUAAGUGCAACUCCGGGUCGUAAGAAGCAGCAAACUCCUGUUGAAUUUGCAUCAUCUGUAACAAUUUUAAGAGCAACGUUGUUACAUUAUGUAACAUAAAAAAGCAACAUAUAUUUAAUUUAUGUAACAUCAUAUAUAGAGAUCGAUAGAAAGGUACCCAAAUAGGGAAGUAAUCAGGAAAAUCUCUCUUGUGUAUGACUUCGUUACCAUACUGCCUUUCCAAAUGGGACUUGAAGUAUCGCUUGGCUUCUUCGCAAUGUUGAAGGACACACCAAUGAGCCUCUUUGAUCUCAUCAUUACUUAAUCUUUCAGAAUUAUUUAACCUGCCGUACGGUUCAACAUCGUUGGAAACAACUGAUAGAUCGAAUUGCCAGCUACUACCCGCUCCAGAUGAUUCCCCCACUGUGUCUUCAUCAUUGAGAUAUGCGCUGCAGUAAGUUACGCACUCAGCCUAAAUGUAUGUCGCCGUGAUCGACCCUUCAGGGAAACGUUUGUUUUUGUUCUUCUUCUUGAAAUCCCCCAGUUGCUGGCAAAACAAAUAUAUAUGCAAUUCUUAUAAUAAAUAUUUAAAAUACCAUUUAUCUUAAUUUGAAAGGAUGAUUAAUUAGAAUAAAUAUGAGUGCAUACCUCUCAUUUGGAUAGCACCAGGUAUACUGUACCGGACCAGUAAGCAACACUUGUUCGGGAAGGUGGAUCAUGAGGUGAAUCAUGAUGUCAAAGAAAGUGGGGGGAAAGAUCCUCUCCAGCUUGCACAUGAUGUACACAAUGUCUUCUUGCAAUGAUCGAACAUCAGACUUUUUAAGCUCUUUAGGGCAUAUCAUCUGAAAGAACUUUGACAAAGCCACUAACGUGUCAACCACAUCACUCUGCAAAUACGGUCUAAUGACCACGGGAAGAAGACGUUGCAGCAAAACAUGACAGUCAUGAGUCUUCAACCCACUAAUCUUAUUUUCCCCCAUCUUAAUACAUCGAGCGAUAUUCCCUGCAUACCCGUGAGGAUACUUAACGUUUCCAAACCACUGAAACACUUCUGCCUUCUUUUGAGGAUGAACUGUGUAGCCUGCUUUCGGCAUUAUGGCUUUUUUUACUUUUUUGCUCUCUACUAGCCAUAGCUGGGGGCGUAUACCCAUCAUCUUAAGAUCAACACGGGAUUUGGGGUGUCUUUGUUCUUAUGUUUGAGAUUCAGAAUUGUUCCAAGAACGUUGUCACAAACAUUAUUCUCUAUGUGCAUGACGUCCAAGUUGUGUCUGAUUUUCAAGGUCGACCAGCAAGGCAAUUCAAAGAAUACACUUUUGUGCGUCCAAUACUUCAACUCAUCACGCGUGGGAGGAUUCAAGUCAGUUACUUCUUUACUCGUGCUCAAAUAUCCGAACCAAUGCUGGUUAAGCCUCUCCAAAUCCACUCACAAGACCUCCCUGGGGGUUUCAGAUUAUGCUCCUCAGUCCCAUCAAAUGCAUCAGCAUCCCACCGCCACUCGUUAUCCUCGGGAAGAUGUCUACGAGAUCCCAAGAAACAAAUUUUGUCGGCGUGCCAACUAGAAUUGACGUCAUCUAUGCAUACCGGGCAAGCCUUGUACCCCUUAGUUUGUUGGCCAGACAACAUCCUGUAAGCUGGAAAAUCAAUGAUGGUCCAAAUAACAGCUGCUUUCAUCAUGAAUGAAAUUUGACCAUGCCUGUCAAAAGUAGGGAGUCCAUUUUCCCAUAACUCCUGCAACUCGUCAAUUAAUGGUCUCAUGUACACAUCCAAGCACUUUCCUAGAGAACACGGCCGUGGAACCAUAAGCGUAAGGAAAUUGUACUCUUUCCUCAUACACAUAUUGGGAGGUAGAUUGUACGGAAAUACUAUCACAGGCCAAAUGCUGUAAGACAAAUUCAUGUUUCCAGUAGGAUUGAAUCCGUUUGUUGCAAGUCCGAGUCUGACAUUUCGACAGUCUCCAGCAAAUUCGGGAAAAGAACGGUCAAAGUGUUUCCAAGCCUCCUCGUCUGCGGGGUGUGUGAGAUUAUCCGGAUCUAUUCUCUCCUCUCCCUGGUGCCUUGCCUGGUGCCAUCUCAUAUGUUUGGCCGUAUGGGAAGACAUGUACAGAUGUUGCAAACGAGGACCCAACGGGAAGUAACGAAGAACCUUCCUAGGAAUGGGCUCUUUCUGCUUAGAUGAAGUGGAAGCUUCAUACCUUGGCUCGUAGCAGUGUGGGCACUCAACUUCAUCCUUGUUAUCUUUGUAAUAUAAGAAGCAGUUAUUGACGCAAGCGUCUAUCUUUUGGUGAUCAAGACCGAGGCCAGCCAACAUCCUUUUUACCUGGUCGAAAUUUUCCGGACAACUGUUACCUUUGGGAAGCACUUUCUUCAUAAGUGCAAUAUCCGCAUCAAAACAUGUCUUAGUCUUUCCCUGCUUGUUUUUUAUCUGCAUUUGCUCCAUAGCAAUACCUAACACAGUAUGCUCACUACCAAGAUACAAUGGGGUUUGUCCUUCCCGUACAAGCCUGUUGUAAUUAUCAUAAUCACUGUUGUAGUCAACGUGGGAGACAUUUGGGAAGGUGUCAAGGGCGUUGUCAUAAACAACAUUUUGCUGAUAUCCUGAGGCAGCGCAGCGAACAGGAAGGCAUCGUUUAAGAGGUUCAUCACAACAGGGUCCCCGUAACUAGCAUUGGAAGAUCCUGCCUACUGAUUAUGUUAUGCUUGAAUUUUUGCAAGUGUAGGCAUUUGAACUUGAUUUUCGCCGUGCCAUGUCCAUGUGGUAUAACUAGGACAAAUACCGUUUAGUGCCAAGUGAGAAUACAUGUCUUCAUAUGUUAUUGAUGUCCGAUUGAGACAUUUGUUGCACGGACAUAUGUGAAUAACUUUGUCUGGAGGACUACGUAGACGCACGAACUCAAGAAAAUCAAAAAUGCCUCUCAUAUAAACUGGGGACCCCCUCCCUAAUUGCAUCCAGCUCUUGUCCAUGUUGUAUACUAUAAUAACAAGAAACAAAAAUAUAUAAUCAAAAAAUCGUGAAUAAAAUAAAGCAAGAGAAAUAUAUAUAGAUAUAUAUAUACACAUACACACACACACACACACUUUGUUGGGAAAAUAAACAUUUAACUAAAAAACAAGAAUUUUAAAGCCCAUUUCAAUGAAAAAACUUUUGAGUAACCCAUAUUAUUGUUUUAACACCUCUAACAAUUAAUAUUAAACCCUUAUUGCAUUAAUUAAUUACACGUUCUCUCUCAUAGUAAAAAAAAUAAAAAAUAUUAUCACGUUCUCCCAAACUCCCACUCUCCAUGAUCAACCGAACUCUCACCUCUGCCACUCUCUCUAUCUCUCUCUAACACUCGAUAACGAUCUCUGGUUUAAGGUUCUUCACGAUCUCCGUGAUUCCAUCGAUCAGGCCACGUCGCUCUCUCGUUAAAUAUCUGUCGACUCCGUCGCUCUCCGCAUGCAGAUAAAUCCCAGUUGAGCAGGAAAUCGCUCUUUGCCCUAAUCUCAGUCGAUCAAAGUUGAUCUGUGGUUCAAUCUCGGCGUCGCUGUCACGUUCAAUCGCUCACGCUUGGCGUCACUCUCUGGUUGAAUAUCGGCGUCGAUAUCUGCUUCAAUCGCUCUCACUCGACCUCGCCUGGGAAAACCAUAAAAACAGGUACAUUUUGAAUUUUAUUGAAUUUAGGCUUAUUUUGGACUUUUCUGAUGAUAUUGAAGCUUCAUUCUAGGGAUUAAAGGCCAUGAAUAUGAAAACAUGAAAAUUAUAGGGUUUCUCUGGUCAUAACUGUUACAGAUUGAGAUUAAUUUUGUUUAAGGUAAUCAUACAAAGAUUUACUGUGUAUAAUUGGCAUGACAAUGAAAGGGAGAUACUGUAUUGUUGUCUGGUCAUAACUGUUACAGAUUGAGAUUAAUUUUGUUUAAGGUAAUCAUAUAAAGAUUUACUGUGUAUAAUUGGCAUGACAAUGAAAGGGAGAUACUGUAUUGUUGUUUACUCUUGUCAAGUAGAAGUUUACUGGGGGGGCAGUAAACUUACACUAGGUUUACUAUGGUUUAAUGAAGUUGUUUAUUAGGGUAAUAAUAGGUAUCUGUUGUGUAUAAUUGGCAAGAUUAUGAAAGGGACAUAGUGUAUUGAAGUUUACUGGGGGCGAGUAAACUUCCACUGGGUUUACUAUGGUUCAAUGAAGUUGUUUAUUAGGGUAAUAAUGGGUAUCUGUUGUGUAUAAUUGGUAUGAUUAUGAAAGGGACACAAUGUAUUGAAGUUUACUGACCCCUAGUAGACUUCUACUGGGGGGCUGUAAACUUCCACUGUGUGGGUAGUAAACAUUUUUUUUUUUUGUAUAUGCAGUUUAUAAAUGCAAGUUUUUACUUCUUAUAUGCAAGAUGGGAAGAAGUUCAAGACAUUUAGUUCUCACUUCUGAUACCAAAGAGGAUUCGGUUCAAGAAUCUGUAGCUUCUAUGAGGACAUAACAAAAUAAAGGAGAAGUUUUAUAGAAGAUAAAGUCGAAGAAAAAGAGAAAAGUGGUCCAAAAGGGUGCCGCUGCUGAAGAAGAAGAAGAAGAAGAAGCAGUACUGGUAGAAGAAGAAGAUGAUGAUUACACUGAAGAUGAAGAGGGGAAAAUAAAAAAGUAUCUUUUUCAGAAAAGAUCAACAGGCAGAGAAAGAAAACAAGCGGAGACAGAUUCAGGGGAGGAGGAGGAGGAAGAAAAGGGAAGAAAGAAGAAGGAAAAAGGAGGAGAAGGUGACUUGACCAAGAUCAAACACGUGCAGCAAAAGUGCUCACUGACAUCAUUUUGUGUGUUAAUGAAUAGAUACAAGGAGACCAUCCGAGAAGAAUCAUGGGAGUUGAUAAACAACACUUGUUUUCGGGGAAUAAUUGAAGCAUUCAGAUUGGGCAAGGUUGAGGAGGAUCAAGUGAGGAAGCUUGAAUCUGAUUUUGAGAUCCUAAUGAGGCACUACAACAGUGACAAUAAAAACUUCAUAUUUGGGAACAGGGAGAUUAAAAUUACGGAGCAUGAUGUUCAUUCAAUUUUUGGAAUAACCAAAGAAGGCUCGGAUGUGGAUAUCACAAUAGACCAGAAAUACUACAAGGGCAGUAAGAAGAAUUUGGCAGAUUCUACUGUCUUUGGAAAGCAAACAAGAAGAACAAUCACCAGAAAGAUUAUUGAUGACACAUUAAUGGAAGAGCUUAGGAAGAUUCAGAAGAAGAAGGGGGAUCCAAGGAAGAUAGCUUCUUUGGUUAUAAUGUACCUUAUGGCAGCUAUAUUUUUCAGCAGAAGCGGGAACCACAUUGAAUGGAAACUGAUACUCAAGUGUGAAGACCUUGAAGGCAUCGACAAAUACAACUGGUCACAUAAGGUAUUAGAAUUCUUGCACCAAGGACUUCACAAGCACGUAAAGGGGGAGCCAAGAGUUUUGAACGGAUGCCUCCUUCUGGUUCUAUACUGGUUCCUUGAGAAAACAAAAAUAAAGAAGCGGAUUAUCGGGAAAGAGAAGGAGACUCCCAGAUUUAUAAGAUGGUCAAUACAAGAGAUCAUCAAAGAAAAUGAGUAUUUGAGAAGACCUGAAUUGCUAGAGGUAAUGAUAUUUUAUUUAUAUAGCCAUUUAAAAAAAAAAAAAAUAUUGCAUUGUAUUUUUUGUUGUUUGAAAAACUAAAUUAAACUGAUUUGUGUCGUAUAAAUGUAAAAACAAGAACUCAUAAUAGAAGGUCCAUGGAUGGAUGAGGAGGAAACGAGUUCUGACAAUGUUGAGCAGCAUCAAGAUGACAAUAGAACACCAAGGACAAUUGAUUGGGUAAGUUUGAAUGGUUACUAACACCCAGUAAAACUAUUGGCAAUUAAAAUGGAACUUCAAUUGCAAGUUUACUAACCCCUAGUAGAAGUUUACUAGGGAGCAGUAAACUUAUAUUGGGUUUAUCAGGGGGCAAUAAAGUUGUUUAUUAGGGUAUAUUAAGUGUGUAAUUGUCAUGAAAUAGAAAGGGAGAUAGUGUAUUGCUGUUUACUGACCCCCAGUAGAAGUUUACCCCAGUUUACUGACCCCCAGUAGAAGUUUACUAGGGGGCAGUAAACUUAUACUGGGUUUACCAGGGGGCAAUAAAGUUGUUUAUUAAGGUAUAUUAAGUGUGUAAUUGUCAUGAAAUAGAAAGAGAGAUAAUGUAUUGCUGUUUACUAACCCUCAGUAGAAGUUUACUAGGGGGCAUUAAAGUUGUGUAUUUGUAUAUAAUUGUUUAACAGUAACGAUUUCGUUGUUAUAACGUGUACAGGAGCUGCCGAUGGAAGAUAUGAAGAAGAAGCUGGCAGAACUUGCCAAAGCAAAUGAAGAACUGGUGAACAAAAACACUGAAUUGCUUGGCAAGUUAAAGAAAGCGGACAGGCAAAUCAUUGAGCUAGAGAAAGAAAGGAGGGCACACAAAAAUGAAAUCAACGCUCUUAAGAAACAGUUGCACAAGGGGGCAAAACAUGCUCAGACAAAGCAGAUAAUAUGUGUAACUGAGGAGAAGGAGGAUGAGGAGGAUUAGUUCAAAGCCGGUUGAAGAGGAAGAAUAUAACUGCAGAGAGGAGCAACCAGGAACUGAAGAGGUAAGGGUAGAAAUCCUUUUACUGACCCCCAACAAAUAUUGUGUUUUCUUCAUUUUUUUGAGGAUAACUUGUGUGUUUUCUUUUGUGUAGUUUUUGAACAAGUAGCAAAACCAGUUCCGUUGCGACAGGUAUUUCCAGAAGACGAUGAACCUGUGACGACCGAUAUCAACCUGUCUAAACUAGNNNNNNNNNNNNNNNNNNNNAAUAAGUUGAUGUUUGAGUAACCUAAGAUGUACUUUGUUGUAAUUAUUUGUGACUUAUAUAUGUUGUACAUGCAGACCAUCAGGGUGUACCUCGCAAUGUUGAAGGAGGAAAUGGAAAAGAAGAAUGUCUCGGUCGGAUUCCUAGACAUAGAGGCAGCGGUAAGUAGUCAAACCUGAAAUAGCAGCGUGCCGCAGCACCGCGGUCUCCUCCGUUACUUUUUUUUAGUUAACACAAUCUUACUACUUGCUUUUAUAAAUACAGCGCACGGCGGUGGUACAUGAACAAAAACUGAAGGAGUUCCUAGCUGGAGGAGGAAAACAGGGGGAAUUCAAAUGUAAUGAAUUGGAUAUAGAGCUUUCUAUUAUUAAUCCUCUGUGGUCCAUCUUCAAUAAGGACCUAGUUUUCAUUCCAGUACAUCAUGGGGUCAGCCACCACUAUACCUUGGUCCUGAUUGACAACGAAGCUCGAUGCUUCUAUCACCUGAACUCAAUGCUACCGCCAAGGAAAGAUUACUCUGCCGACACCAACAACCACUUUCAGAAUGCAAAGACAAUGGUGAGUUGUAACUGAUUUAUUAGGGUAAGAAGUUUACUAGGGGGCAGUAAACUUCUUACCCUGUUUUUUGUUUGUUGCUUGUUCUCUUAGUUUGUUUAAGUUUUAAUUUACUUGUGUGUUAGAACCAACAGGUGAAACACAUUAUGGUGUUCAUCAAACGCGUAUAUGAUUCCACCAAAUACCCUCUCAGCCAAGGCUUGGACCCUGAGGAAUAGAGGGAAAACUAUGACAAGCAGGACAGCCAAGGAAUAGUGGUUGAUGAUUACUCGAUGAUGAGUGCUGAAGAGAAAAGAACAAGAAGAUGGAUGCUGGACCAAAACAUUUAUCAAGCAAGAUACAAGCUGAAGGAUAUCUUAUCAUGCUCGCAACAAAACAAAACAUCGUAAGUACCUUUAAACUUUCUUUAAAGAGUUUUAUUGGGGUCAGAAAUUACUUGUCUGUUUUAUUGGGGUGAAAAAUUUAGUAACGCUGUUUCUUAAUACAUUGCAGGUCAGACUGUGGACCAUUUUUGCUCCACUUUAUAGCGAGCCUAUGUCAUAGGAAAAAACCGACAAAAGAUGGCUGUAAUAAAAUGAGGAGGAAGAUUCUGCUAAAGUUCAUGGACAUCAAUAUAACAAAAAGUUUAGUGUCACUUUAGAUGUAGGAUCUUCAAAAUGUGAAAAUAUGUAGUAUUUUGGUAGUGUUGCAAGAUAUGAAUGAUCUUGAAUUUCAGUAAAGGAACUUGUUCUUUUAGUAAAUUUGGUCUAUUCCUUUGAUCUUUCUGUCAGUUUCAUUUAUCAUUGGUUGUCAGUUUCAGAUUUUUUUUUUUUUGUUACAGGGUGGUUAUUGGUAGUCAGUAAACUUUGGUUGCUCUGUUCAGGAAAAUUAUUGACCCCCAAUAAUUUUCCAUACUUGAAAGUUUACUACCCCAUUAUGUUAUUAGAGGAUGGUUGAAAAGAAUCUAAGUAAUAACAAUCAUCUAAAAACUUUGGUUGCUCUGGUCAGGAAAAUUAUUGACCCCCAAUAAUUUUCCACACUUCAAACAUAUGAGCAUAACAAAAAUUGGAAGCAUUCCAGAUAAAACAAAAGACCUGGAAAUGAGUAAAAUAAACAUCCAAGUAUCAAACUGGAAGAAAAUAAAGGAUGGCGGAUGUGUUGUAAAAAUUACUGACCCCCAAUAAUUUUUCAUACUAUACAUAUAUAUGAGCGUAAUUUUCCAAUCAUUUUCCAUACAUGAGAGUUUAAUUACUACCCCAAUAAUAUUCUUCAUCUAAUACCUCCGGUUAGGGCCCUAAUCCCGUUUGAGAGCAUAUGACAUUGUGAUUUCGUUUGUUGUUGGGGCGUUUCGAAUUCGCAUAUGUGAGAAAAUUCCGGCAGCAUCUCCGUACAGUUCCCCGAGUGCACAAAUAUCUAUACCUAGAAUGCACUCGAGGAGCAAUAAUUAAAGGAAGAUCUUGUCGAAAUAUAUAUACCCACAACCGAAAACGAAACCCACCAACAACAAACAAUGUCAUAUGCUGCCAAACUGUCCAAAUAUGGGACAAUUCGAAAACCAUUUUGUUAGACACAGUCGUAACAUAAUGGUUCUCGAACGGGAUUUCUAAGGGUAACAAUAUAUAUUGAUGAAUGUAUAAGAAUAUUAUAAUUCUUAAUUACAUGAUUCAUCAUUUUAUUUUUUAUCAUAUGAUGAUGAUAAUACACAAAUCGAUUUGAAUGAAAACAAAAAUUUGAUAAACAUAUUAUUCACAUAAUCAUUAAUCAUACAUACAAAAGCUAAAGAUAUAUAUAUAUAUAUAUAUAUAUAUACUUUAAAAUUAAACACACAAAAGUUAGAUAUAUAUACAAACAUAAUACUAUAUAGUUUUCAUGCAUAUAUAAUAUUAUACGUACGUAUAAACAUAUUAUACACACAUAUCUAGUAAUUAUAUUAAGCAUACAAGUAAGCAACAAUCCAUCAAAAUUGGAUCGGCAAGUCGCCGAAAGUUCGCAGAAAAUAUGCCUAAAAGAAGAAAGUAGAUAUAUUAAUUAAAGUAGUUACAUAUAUACCAAUUAGCUAAGAGAUCGAGAUCGAGGCGCACAGCUCUUCAAGAUCGAUCAACUUCAUGAAGAAAAGCUUUCAAAACUAGAUUGGAUCGGAUGAAUAUUCCAAUGAGGGGGAGGGGAGCUAGACCAUGUCUUAAUUUCUUCUGCGUUCUCUUCUGGGCAAAAGGUGUAUAAAUGGAUGAUGUGUAAACCUAGCCGACGGAAAAUUCCGUCGCCUAAGAGAAAAGGCUUCGGAAAAAUACUUGUCCUGCUUUGUGUCAGGCAAUAAUUCAAAAUCAUAGGCGACGGAAUAUUCUAUCGCCUAAGAUAAAAGACUUCGGAAAAAAUAUUCGUUCUGCUUUGUGUCAGGCAAUAAUUCAAAAUCUUAGGCGACAGAACAGUUCGUCGCCAAAGAAAAUAAAUUCGUCUCCCAAGUACAUCCUAGCCCACGGAAACGUCUUCGUCGCCCAAGAAAAUUUCAAACGACGGAAAACUGUUCGUCGUAUAAGAGAGACAUACCGACGAAACAAUAUUCGUCGCCCUAGAAAAUGUUAGACAACGAGAUCAUACCGACGGAAGAUAUUCGUCGCCUAGGCUUUACUAAGGUGACGGAACCUGGACGACGAAUGGUGUUUCGUCGUGUAGGAAAAUCCUAGUCGAAGGAAGACGUGUACGGUUAUUUUCCAUCGCCUAGGAUAUCUUAGAUGACGGAUGCGGCAUCAUAGAUGACGGUUCCUCUUCCGUCGGUGAAGAGUUACUUGGCCGACAGAAUUAGUAUAAUUUCGUCGGCUAAGUUGAUAUUUCCUGUAGUGUGUGCUUCCCACGAUCAGGGGAGUGCAAAUUUGCCGAUCACCCUAAGUUGCCCACCCACCUAAUUUCAUGUCAUGUGUCAUUUUUGUUAACUAAACCAAACUAUGGUUAAUGAUAUAGAAUUUAAUAAAUAAAUUUUGUUUUCCUUUGAUUUUAAAGUAAAAAUUAAGUCAAAAAAUGAGCAUCAUUCCAAAAACCACGAAAUGAAAAUCACGAACUAAUCCAGAAGGCAGAAACCAUGAAUUGAUGAAAAUGAACUGAUCCCAAAAAAUAAACAAGAAUGCCUUCAUGACAUCUGCUUGCUAAUCCCAAGUGCAGGAGUCGCGUAAUAGUAUAGACUCGGAAGUACGCGUGUCGUUUCCGUCGAGAGCAGUGAAAAAGUACACAAAUGAUGAACUGAAAAAGAAAACGAUUGUGAGUUUAUGUAACAUCCCGAUUAUUAAAAUUUCUCAAAAUUGAUUUUUCUUCUUAGAAAUAGAAAGUAGAGGUCGUCAUGAGUUCGCCAUAUUUUUCGGUGAAUUUUCGGAGUUCCGAGCUAUUUUUAACGAUUUUUUUAAGAUUGGGUUCAAAUAGGAUCGGAAUGCCACGUGGCGCAUUCCGAUUGGUUAAGAGUCUGACAUGUGGCAAGUGGAGAGGAGACCAGCUGACGCGCUGACAUCACCCAUAUGGGCUGAUGACGUCAGCAUCAGCAUGAGUCAUUGUGGGAAUGUGUUGUUGUUUAACACGUGGCAACAAAUGGCCUAAUCAUUUGUUGACACAUGGCACUUUUUUGGGUAUAAAUAGGAGGGAACAGCCCCUCAUUUCCGUAAGUCUCUCUCUCUCUCCCCUAAAUUUUCUCUCUCUAGGGUUCUUGCGACUAAACUUCGGCGGAUCAUAACUUUUGAUCCGUAACUCCAAUUCUGAAUCCACGAAGUGCUACGGGUUCGUCUCGAUGUCCUCUUCCUAUCCUAGAGGUUUGAGCUAGAUCCAACGGUGAUUCUAGAUGGCUUGUUUUAGGAGGCUCGGUUUACAAUCGGUAUUCGUGGUUGGGUUUCGCUUUGUCGAGGUGAGUGGAUUUUUGUAAUAUGUUUAAAAUAUUCUUAUUUGUUGUCAAAUUUGUCAAAAAGCAUGAUUUUGAUCUUUUACGAAAUAUCUCUCUUUUUAUAGUGAAGCAUGUCUAUUUGCAAAAUAUGCGGUGUUUAUAUAUAAUUAUGUGUUGGAUCCAUUGUUUGACUAGUUAUGGAACAUGUGAACUUCUUUAUUGGUUAUGCCGAAGUAAGGAUGUGACACACGGAGGUUUAGGACAUGAAGGUCAUUAGGUUCCCGUGGGGAUCACUAAAUUGAAGGAUAUCAAAUAAGAAAGGAUUGUGCGAUGUGAUGAAUUGUUGGUAGUGAUGUGUAUACGAUAUACGUAUUUUGUAGCGUGUGUAAAAUGACAUGGUUUUGCGGGCAUAUUACAUUGGUCUACUCACUGAGCAUGUGGUUAUGGUCACCCACCCAUCUCUAAUAUUUUUUGCAAAGUACUUGGAUUUGACUGAGCCGGGAAAGGGUAGCCAACGAGCCUAAAAGAUAGUGUUCUUAUUUUAUUUCGUUUUGUAACACUCGUUCACGCCUCGAAAUUGACGUCCGAUGCUUAAAAUCCACCGACGCCGGGACCGGGGUGUGACAAUUUAAUUGAGAGAGAAUACGAUAAUGAGAGACACUAAGGUUUUGGGGUUCCACCUUAUAUCACUUAUGCAAUUAUAUCAAUUCGACUCUUUUCUAUGAAACUUAUUCAAGAAAUGUGACUCUAAAGAUGAAUUCAGUUAAAGUUGUUCAAACACAUAAACUUAAUAAUUUCAUAGGAAUUUCACAAGCAUAACCUGUACCUAUGGCAACAACCUAUCAAGAUUCAAUUCCACCGAAAUCAUCAAUCAACAUGCUAAAUACUUAGUCUCAAAAGCAUGGAUAUUUUUACCAAACAAUAGGAAAAGCAUGACUGAACCUAUGAAAUAGAUUAUCAAAUACCCAUCAAUCGAAUUAAAAAGUAAAAGCAAAAAUUAAAAUUGAACAUUCGAAAACUGAAUUUGCAUUGAAGUUGCAGUCGAAUCGAAUUAAUAAAAACUACAUAAGUAAUCCAAGGUUUCUCCCCUAGCCUUAGCUAGGAGAUUAGUUCUCCAUAACAGAAAUUGAAAAACAAUAAAAUUGAGUUUUCCGAGAGUACAACUAAGGUCGAGGGAUUCCGAAGAAGAGAGAGAAGAGAACGGCGCCAUCUGCUUCAAAUCCAUUAUAUUCCUAGCAGCCAACCCUUUGUCGAUAUCCAACCCGAAUAGAUCCUCUUGAUUUCACGUAGGCCAAAUCUUCCAAUUCAUGAAAAGAAUCAAUCUUGAUUGAACUUUCCUUUCUAAUGGCUUCAUGGAGAUAUUGGCAAUUGGGCUCUUCAUAUCUUCUUGAUGCCCUUCGCUUCUUUCCAUUAAAGGGUUGUUACCUUGAGAGGAUUCAGGAAAUUGAGCUAGGUUUCUAUUGAAGGAAUAGGAUGGUGACGUCUUCAAUUGAGAGGUGGAGAUGUAAGGACUCAAAGAGAUAGAAGCAAGUGAAACACGUGAGAGGCUUGCUCUCUCUCCCUUUCCAAUAAUCAUAUGUAUUAACAAGUGAACACAUAAGCCAACAUCACCAAGUCCAUGUCCAGUAUCUCUUUUGGGCCUCUACAUGCUGAAAUACAUCAUCCAAAUAUCAUAAAAUUUUGUUCAAGAUUUCUCCUCUUUAAUUUGCUUCUUAUUCCCUUCUUUGCUCUGAAACACCUAAUAAACAUAAAAAUAACUAAAUUAAAUAGAAAAUACGCUAAACUAACAAAAUAAAUAGGGGAAUUAACCAUCAUAUCGUUGCAUAUUUAUGCUCCUAACAACAUCUGAGGAUCACAGAAACCACGAAAAUGGUGUUCAUCACAUCCCCAAAUUAUUACAUAACCCAAAACUUGAAUCUCAACCCGAAAACCACCACCCUCCAAACCCUAAAGCUCCAAAUCGAACAAACCUCCCACAUCCUUAUUAGUUAAAAAGUCACCCUCAAGUAUAAGGGGUACAAGUAAUAGUAUAGGAAUUAAGAAAGGUUGUCGAACCCAUGAGGAUUAGAUCCUUUCACUAGCUAGGGUGUUAACCUUAAGAGAGCUAGAAUGUGCAAAUGUACAAUCACAAACCUAAACACACAAGGAAAUCUAGGCUCAUGGUGAGUAUGUGCAAAAUGGACUAGUAGGGGAUUUUGGGUUUUUGAAGUACGUAGUUAACUAAACUAAACUAAAUGCUCAAAUUGUAAACUGAAUUACUCUAAACUAAACUUGUCGUCUAAUGAAUGGUGUUAGGAUUCGAAUUGUCUACUACUCACCUCCCUUGUAAGUAUUGAUGCAAAUCAAAAUGAACGAUGCUAAACUAAUCAACCAAUUUCUCUCCUUGCAUCCAUCUCGGCAAAACCCUAGACAUGCUCUUUUUGUGGUAACAAACAACCCCUCUCGGGUGUAGUACUUAACUACUUAAGUCAUGUAUUUCAAUCCAGUUAGAUAUCUAGUGCAUUACCUUAAGUGCAUAAAGUUUGAAGAUAAAGAAACUGUGCAAACCAACCAAGCUUAUCUCUAAGUGAUUGUAAUUCAUAACCCCUACAUGCACACCUAGUGUGCUUUCAUGCUCUAACAUUCAAAGGUUACCAAGCUCUAAACAUUAUAUCAUGACAUGGUAAACACACAUACUCAAAGUGGUAAAUUCUAAGUAUAUGUAUUCAACUCUUGAACUAGCAUGUAAGAAUGUUAACUAAAAUUGAAUCACAUCAUAUAAUAGCAUCAAUCCAUACAUGAUUGGUUAGGGCUUUCAACCUUAACCCCAACAAGGUACUACUCACUCAUAAUUACAUAAACAAAUUUCAUGACCAAAUUAAACAUCAAAUUGAAUCUAGAGUAAAAGAGAUAAAAUUGGCUUAGUGGUGUGUCGAUUUGUCCCCAAGAUCAUGUCUUAGUGGUGGAGGUGAUGGUGUGAUUCACUCUCCUUCUUGCUCUUGAAGAUUUGAUGAUGAAAGGUAGUGAAGUUUGAUCUAUGCUUUGAGUGAAUAAGUAGAGUGGAUGGAGAAAAUGAUAGAGAAAAGAGUGGAGAAAUGGUGGACUAGUGGUGGUGUUAAUGGAGGUUUGGGAUUAGAGAUGGUGGUGGUGUAGGAGGAGAUGGAGUAGUUUGGGGGAGGAAAAGGAAGAAGAUGGGUUUUGAUUUUGGGAGAUGGAGAUGGAGGUUUGUGGUGGAGAUAGAGUGAAAAAGGUAGAGAAUGGGUGAAUGGGUGGAUGAUGGUUCAUCAAAAAGGUGACGGGGGAGUAAAAAAUAUAUGAAAGAGAAGCAAAAAGUGGGAGAGACAACACAAAAUCAUCUCCCCUCUCUUCCCAUCCGAUUCUUCCGAAAUGGAAGAGUGUUCACAUUGCCAAACUUUGCCAAAUCCAAGGCAUAAAAGUGAAAGGGAAAAGGUGAAAGAAAAAGGUAAUGAUGGAGAAAAAUGGUAGGAAAAAGAUGGUGUAACACAAAAACAUGGAGGGGUUUUUGUAGAAUUCAUGGAGGACUUUUUGGGCAAAAAGGAGGAGUGAUGAUUAUGGUGUGGGAAAGAGAGAAAUGUGAUGGAGUUGAGUUUCAACUAUAAGGUUGAGAAUUAGUUAAGAAUGAACAAUGUUACUCCACCUCUCCUCUACCAUGAAGGUGACCGAAAAAUGUAUGACACCACUGAUAGCCAAAAAGUCACCCUCAAGUAUAAGAGCCAAUUUAUAGUGUAGGGAUUAUGAGUAAGGGAUAUCGUACCCAAGGGAUUGGUAAACCCACUCUAGCUAGGAAUGUAACGCCCCGUACCCAAUUUUACCUAUUUACUGGGUAUUCUACGAGUUACUGAGGAAUUUAACCGUGCUCGGUAACUUAGUAAGUUAACACUCGAGUUUAUUUGCGAAUUCUUUUGGAAAUGUCAAAUUCUUCUUUUAAGGUCUCGGUGUCGUAGUUCGCGUCAACACGGGUUUUCCGGUAUUUUCGGUUUAUUUUUGGAGCUUUGAAGUAUUUUUCUAUGAUUUAUUGAAGGUUGGCAAAAAGAAAAUUUAUGUUAUGAAAUUAGAAAAUUUUGGUUUAAUCUUGGCCGUCGGAUCUUUAGGAUUUGAUCUCAACCAUUGGUUUGGGUAUAAAAGGAUAAGAGAGGAUUGACUUUGUCAAAGCCCAAUUCGGACGUUGACCGAGUUGCAAUCCAUCUCCUCUCUCUCUCGAGGUCUCUUGUGACGCACAUCUGAGUGGCGUCGUCCGGCCACCCCUGGUGCUGAGACCACCACCGAUCUCUUCCUCUCUUUCUUCUCUACAAGACCCAGUUCAUAGAUCAUCAUUUGCAACUUGAUUCGGUGGUAAUCGUGUCACAUCCCGGUUUUUAAGUCAAUUUGCGGUUAUUUACUUUUUGAUUACUUUGACAUUUUACUGUUUUAAGUAACCGUUUACUAUUUAAGACUCUAAAAGUUGACUUUUUCUUUCGUUUGGAAUUUGGGAAAACUUUCUUCAUGAAAGUUGUAGAGGACGUUAAUACGAGUUCGUAGACAUGCUAAACGUUAAAAUCGGAGUUAGCAUGAAAAAGUUAUUAGAUAAAAAGAGUAGACUUUGUUUGGUAAAGAGAGGUUAAUUGUUUUAGUAGGUAUUAUUUUUGGAGGUGUUUUAUUGUUGGAGUGGGAUUUUAAAUGGUGGACCGGGUCAAAAAUGGGGUCAAAAGGCCCAACUCAUUCUCUCUCUCUCUCNNNNNNNNNNNNNNNNNNNNACUACUACUCUCUCUCUCUCUCUCUCUCUCUCUCUCUCUCUCUCUCUCUCUCUCUCUCUCUCUCUCUCCCGAGCCAACCCCGACCCGUCGGAUUCCUCGGCUCCGACCGCCGCCCUCCGGCCACCAUAGACCGGCGCACCGAUCCUAAACAGUCGGCCGUCGACCCAGCCUUCUUCCUGGACCAGUGAGAGCUGCCCUAGCGCCACCUUGAGGGAGAGAGCUCGCCCGGAAACUCCGGCUGCGUGGUGGAGUCCCGACGCCGGAACUUGCUCCUCCGGCCACCAUUUCUAGUGAUUUCAGUUCCAUUGGGAAGUGCUCUCCGUGUGUAACAUUUCCCUAGAAGGUAAUGAUCCAAUUCGAAGUGUAUAGGAGGAUUUUCGGGCUAGGGUUUGAAUUGGGGGAUUUUUAGAUGUUUUGAUUCGAUUACCCUAGUUAGGCUUAGAAUUGGACUAAGUGCUAGUUAUGGAAGUUGUUGUGCGUGAUGAGAGGAUUAUUCUGUUAAAAUUUGGGAGGCAUUGGUCUCCGGCGGAGCAGGCGGCGGCGCCGCCACUUGGAGGUUGAUUUUCAGGUUUUUGGGUUUGUUAUAAUGAGAGGAGUUUAAUGAAAUAUAGUUUGGAAUUUUUGGAGGAGUUUUGAUAAGGUUUGGGAUUUUUAAAAGAUUAAGGAUUUUGCCGGUUAUUAGAAUGAAAAUCCGGCCGUUGAAUUUCCUUGGUAUUUAGCCUGGAAUGUUAGAAUUGAUGAUUUGAGGUUGUGGUGGAGUUUGAUGUGAAUCCGGUGAGUUUAACCCUAAUAAGAGUAGUGGGUUAAACGGAAGAGAGUUAAAUAUUUUUAUUCACGUAAUUAUUUUCCGGAAUUGAAGUUUGGUCCUAAGCAUGGUUGUUGUGCCAGGAUUCGAGGAGACCACGCUUGAAUGGUGAUUCGGAAUUCGUCAGGCUUAGGCCUAAAUCUGUGAGUGGACAUUUUGGUUUUUAAUUAAUAUGCAUGUAAGAUUUUAUAAAUUAGUAUUUCAUUUUCCAAGCAUAUAUUAUAACUUCGGCAUAUGAAAUGAUCUUGGAAAUUAUUUGAGAUUGAUGCAUGGAUUAAAUGUUGGUCAUAAUUUAUGGAUUUGAGCUCGGAUUGAUAAUUUGAGAUUUGAGUUUGGAUUUUCUUUAUGAUUUCCGGAUUUGAGAUUAUAUCCAGAUUUGCAUAUUGCCGGGUUUUCGAAAGGUGAAAGUUAUUUAAAUUAAUUAUUUCAUUGAGCAUUUUAACGUGUGGGACACGUCAUCAAAUUUAAUUAUUUUCUUUACUCAUUGAAUUCUUUGAGUACGAUAGAAAAUCGUACUUAUGCUUAAGUUAUGAGUUUCGGGGAAACUCACAUGGAUUUAUGUUUCUUUAUUUAUGCUAUACUUGUUGGAUCGUUAUUAUUCAUGUUAGCAUGUUGUUCCGCCUUUCGAGGCGAUGUAGCUUCCACGUUUUAAGUGGGGUUACUCAAGCCCUUUUCGCCUUCGGGUGAUGUGAUGUAAUCGACGACAUCACGCAAGUCCUGCACCUUCUCUGUUAUCAUGACAUGAAAGUGUAGGGAGUAUGGGAGUACUUUGCCUGGGAGGCAAUCGAGUCUGGGAGGCUCACUUGUAUGGUUAAAUCGGUUUAUUAUUUAUUGUUGUUUUGACUAGCGGGGCUAGUCCAUUGUUUUGGUAUUUUCUUCAAUGAAGGUUAGUAUUUAUCUUUGUCAAUAUUUUGACUAGCAGGGCUAGUCCAUUUCUUUGGGAUUUUCUUUAUGAAGGUUUUACCAACACUUGCAUGCAACAGAUUUCUUGAUUAUUGGAAAAUGGAAAGUAAUUAAGUUUGGUUAGUUAUGUUGCGAUAAGUUAUUUGUUUAAUUUUUCGUCCACUCACUCUAACGUUUUUAUAUUACUUUUCCCUGGGCCCUUCGGUUUCAAAUGCCCAGUGUGCAGGCUAAGUUUUAAAGGAGGUCGAGCGUACAUGGAGUUGAGGCAUAGUCAGAGGCUGCUUCCGCAUAUUCUUUAUUCGUUGUUUUUCGUUCAACUUUAGAUAUGCUCUGAAAGUCCAAUAGUAAAUUAUUAAUAGUCCUUAUUCUUGGUUGUGGGAUUAUUAGAGUUGAGUAAUUGUUAUAUUGGGAGAUGUGUUGAUCUUGGGGAGCAGGAAGGCUCCAGGUGUUGAGGCUGGUUUGUUUGGUUAUAGAAGUGUUAAGUUGGAUUUUUCAGGUAAGGGUUGUCCAUUUUCAAGGAAGGUUAUACCGAAUUUUCGGUAAAUUUUCCUUGAAGGUGGACCCCGCAGGAUUUACCUUGGGUUUCAGGGUGAAAUUCGGGGUGGGUCCUGUCAAAUCGAUUGAAGGGAGCUCGACUGUGUUCACCGGUUUCUAGCGUUUUCCGGCGAGUUCAUCGGACGCCAAUGGUAUGUCUCGGUUCACCUCUCUCUUCUCUUCAUCUCUGUGCCUUUGUUUCAUAAAAUCGGACCCUAAUCUGAAAAUCCCUUUCUUUCUCUUUUCUGGGUUUCGAGCUCCUAGCUUCGAGAACUACAUUCGGUAGUUCCGGCAAGUGUUUCGGGUUUUGGUGAGUCCUUGAAGCCUAGUGGGGAGUCCGGUGGGACCUUAGAGUGACUUGUGGAGCUGCGGUCGUCGAACUUGACCAAUGCAGAGGUUUGGUGUGUUUGGCAAGAGAGAACCUGAGGUGAUGUGGUGCUGUCUCGGUGGAGGUGGCGACUAAGGCAGCAGCUAGGGAUGUUUGGAAGUCCUGCAAGUUGAGUGUUGGCAAGGAGGAGCUCUUAGAUUCGUGUGUUGGAUGAGCAGAUGGUAAGGCUCAAUCUCUGACAUUGUGAAGCUACGGUGUUGUUGUUAUGUUGUGUUUGGUUGGUGUUUGAUUUAGCUAUUUGGUUGGUUGUCGAGAACUAGGUGAAUCGGAGUUAUGGGGAGGCUAUGGCCAUUUUCCGGCAGAAUAUUCCGGCAAAUUCCCGGAAUCCGGGGAAGGAUUCCGGUGAAGGCAGUUUUUCCGGCAGGAGCCUGUGAGGUAGUUUUCGAGGCCAUUUUUUCUAGUUCGUAUUGUAGUUCCUAAAAGGGAAAAUUCGGGUUGUAAUUGGAAGACUUGCUAAGUUAGGAAAGUUUCCAUUUUCCCUUUAUAGAAACUUCCCAUUUAUGGAAACCCUUUUUGGGUGCCCUUAAUAAUUUGGUGGUUUUCCAUAUUAAAGUGGUUCAUAUGUUUUGAGUUAACGAAAUUGUAUUAGUUUGAUUAAUAAAAAUCGAAGUCCACCAAAACGAAUUAUUAAGCGAAGCCUAAGUGUCUACCGGUCGGUUAAUCGGACGUAUAGAGGGAAUUGGAUCGAAUUGUUAAGUCAAAGGUUGAAUUCGAAAAACGUUGGGCAUUAGUUGGUCAAGCUUGGUCAACCCAAGAAACCCUAGUCAAACUAGGAAAGAAGACGAGACAUUUGGUUAUUUUAAAGUUCGGUCUGACCGAUUUGUCCUACAGCUUAUGGUCAGGCUUGGGAUUGACUCAAGGACUUGGAUAUUUGGAGCUAACGCUAGAGGAGUGUUACUAGCAAUGGAAAGCUUAAGCCUAAUAUUGUGAGUGGACACUUUGUUUUUAAGGAAUAUGCAUGCAUGAUUUAUUUUGGAAAUUAAUGUUCUAUUUACCGAGCUUAUAUUAUAAUUUUGAUUUAUGAUAUGGUCUUGAAUUUAUUUGAGUUUGAAGCAUUGAUUAAGUUGUAAUACCCCGGAAAUUUGAUAUUAGUUUCUAAUUUUAUUUAGGAAUUUUUGAGUUAGAAGUUAGUGUGUUUUGAAGUUCGAAGGAAGAGCGGAAGGGUUCGGAUGCGUAAAUUGCCUGAACCGGUUUUAUAGUUCUGAAGGGUCAAGAGUUGACUUUCUAAUUCAUUGGGUUUCUCAUGAAACUUCCUUCACGGAAGUUGUAGAGCACGACGAUACGAGUUCGUAGACACGUGGCACGCGUAAAACGGACUUCGUAUGAGAAAGUUAUGGUCAGCAGAAGUUGUGACUUUAUGGGAUUUUAGUAUAAAUAGGAAAAUGUGUGUGGGUAUUUUCAGAAAACCCUAAUUUUGCUUAGAGCCCCCGUGCAGCUUUCUCUCUCUUCCUCCCGACCCGCACGCACGACCCCAUCCUUGCCGGAGCAGAAGUCCACCGUCCGACCACCGCCUUGACUGCNNNN